RNAcentral lists this long non-coding RNA (51945 nucleotides) under Phaseolus vulgaris (common bean). Its description in RNAcentral is "long non-coding RNA (PVUL_LNC000400)". Lineage: Eukaryota; Viridiplantae; Streptophyta; Magnoliopsida; Fabales; Fabaceae. The record is from RNAcentral.
AGUGUUUUGGUAAAAAAUGAAACCAGUAACCAAUGAUGGCCUGUUUUGUGGUUAACACCUAACUUCAUGGUGGGGAUGAGAUUGUGAGUGGGAUAAUCAAAACUCUGCCACAAGAGAGUGUUUGUCCCAUUGGAGUGAAGGUGUUGAAGAACAAAGUUGCCUGUGUCCAACAAGGUGGCCUUAGUGUUGUUGAUAGGUUGAGGUGGAGAAUACAGGAUUAUUGGCUUCCCACGUUGAGAUUCAAUUUUCAGCACGCCUGAGCGGUUAAGUGACAGAACUGCAGAAUCCUUGUCCACAGGUUGGUUUCUAUCACUCAUCCAAACUACAUAAUUAUUAUUUACAUUGGAUACAAACAAAUACUGGUUGUCACCAACAUCAACCCAACCAAAACCUAGACAAUAGUCGCCCUUUUUUGAAUAUAGUGGUCCUGUAUCUAAGUUCAGUGUAUCACCAGGCUUUAAACUGUCAUUUGCUGCUUCAACACGAAUACAAGUACUCCACCACAAGCACAAGCACAUGAAAGCAAGCACCUUCUGUAAACAUGGAAAUAGUAAUCUGCAUGAUGGUUUACUGAGUGAUGAGCUGAGAGUUAUUCUUUCUGAUACGUUAGAAAAAGAAAUGUAUAACAACAUAAAACUAAGUUGUAAAAUUAAAACCAGACACAUAUUGAAUCUGUCAGAAGCAUAUACUCACAACAUGUGAUGGAGGGUCAUUCCAAAUCUUAUUAAUUACAAGCUUCAGAGCUUAAAACUCCAACUUUGGCUUUGGAAUUCUGCACCAAAAAUGAAUAGCCUGUCAGCACAAGUUAAGAGAAAAGAAAAAAGCAGUAUACUUUAUUGCAAUUAUUGAAGUAAAGAAGAUAAUGAUAUUAUGGGCUAUUGAUCCCACAAAAAGAAAAAGUUAAGUAAGACUAAAGGAUUUUAUGUUUUUUGAAUAUUUAAAUAAUUUUUGUAAUAUUAUUUAAUGUAUAUUUUAAUUCCCUAAAAGUUUAUAUGAUGACACUUGUGUUAUAAAAAGUGUAUUCUUCUUACUUAUAAAUCAUAAAAAAAAUAUUAAUAUUUAUGUGUUUUUAUUAUUUUAAUGGUAUUGUAAAGUAAUGUAGCUUUGUCAUCCUAUGAUUAGAUAACGUUUGUGCCUAAUACGUUGUUAAUUUCAUAAAAUUUUGAGAAAUAUAAAAGUUGGACAGGAAAAAUUUAUAAACUCAAUGCCUUGAUAUUUUGGAUUUAGCAUGCUGUAAAUUUUACUUAUAUGAUUGAUUAGUGGUUCAUAAAUAAAGUUUCAUGUUCGUGCCGGUUGAUUCGAUUGUCCUAAUGUCUCCAACGACAAUCACACUCCCGAUUCUCUUUGCCUUGGUUCGUACUUUCCUUCUAUCAAAACACCUUGUACCUAUAAAGACAAAGAGGCGUCCUAGAAGCCGUUUGCACUCCGACUCUCAAGUCAAUACUGUGGCUAAGAAACAGAAAUGUAUGUAAUUGUUCUAGUCUCAAGAACUGCGUACCUCUUUAGUUGUCGGCGAUGCGGGCGGAGGGCGAAUGGAACCAGCGACGAUGCUGCCGUGUGGUGCGAUCGGCGGUGCAAAGGAGCACGUUCGUUGGCGACGAAAGGGAGGAAGAGGUUGUUGGAAUCACGAUGCGGUCGUGGCGAGAAGCAGAGCGGGGCAGUCACGGUGAGAAGCAGAGCGACAAUGUCCCGGGGAGCAGCGACGCAGUGGUUGUGUCACGAGGUGUAGCGAUACGGUGGCUUUGUCGAAAAAGGCAGCAACACAGUGGCUCUGUCACGGUGCGACCAGCGGGUGAGUCCUUUGCAGUGGUGCGGCACUGCGGCGAUGAAGAAAGGAAGAAGAAAGGAGAGGGUGAAUGAAGGAGUGAAGAAGACUAAAGGUGCAGAAGAAUGAAGGAGUAAAGAAAAUAGUGAAGGCGUGAAGGAGUAAAGAAAACAGUGAAGGCGUAAACGAGAGUGAAGGCAAGAUUUAAAAAUCUACCACUUAAAAAAAUCCCACUUACUUUUAACAACGGUUCAUGCUGAAAGUGUUGUUAAAAACCCCAGUCACUCUUAUAAUGACAAUUCAUGCUGGAACCAUCGUUGUUUUGGACCUACAAACACAAAAUAAUUACAAGUUUACCACCCUAUAUUUUAUAACGAUGAUUAUGUAAAAACCGACUUUUUAUAGAAUCGUCGUAUUGAUAUUUUAUACUAGUAAAAUCAUAAAAUAUAGAAAAUAAUAUUUUUAAAAAUAUCAAUAGUGUGUAACUGGUAUGCUUAAUAAUAACAAAUUAUUUAUAUUAUUUAUGAUCAAUUAACCUUAUCCUAAUUUAAAUCUGUAUAGACUGAAAAGAAAAAAAUUUGAAUAUUGUCCCAAGUCUGCAACGGGCAAUCUUGUCCCAAUACGAAGGAGUUCUUCACCCCAGUAGUAAUUCCAUAUGUACGCCAACAAAUUAAAUAUAAAGGAAAAUUGAAUCUAAUAUGAAAAUAGUUUAAUUAGAUUUUAAAUAUCUUAUGCAUUUGAUUAUUUUCAAUAAAAUCUUUAUUAAAAAAAAUUAUUCUACUGAAUGUUUAAGAUAUUAUUUAUUCUAUUUAAGUAUGUCGUCUUAUUUUUCUGUUAAGAGACUUCUUAUUAUUUAUUCUAUUAAACUUUCGCAAGUUAAAAGAAAUUAAAAAGAAGAAAAGUGAAUUAAUUGAUACAUUGAAGAUAAAGAGAUAAAAAUAAUAACUAUAUCACAUUUAAAAGAAAAAAAUUAAGUGAUAGAAUACAGAAAUAAAAACAAAAAUAUUUUAAAUACUUAACAAAAUGAUUUUUUAAUAGAAAUUCAAUACACAAAAAUGUUUAAAUUUAUAAUAUAUUUAAAACACUACAACAAAAAAUGUUUUUAGAAACUAAAUUUUUGGUUUCUAAAAUAAUAAAAUUAGUCACUAACUUAAUUAGAGACUAAUUUAGAAACUAAUAGUCUUAAGUGGCUAAAGUCAUGGUCACUAAUUUUAGAUACCAAUUUAAAUUCUAACUUAGAAAUCAAUUUAGUUACCAUUAAAUAAAAACCAAUUUAGUGACCAAAUAUAUAGAAACUAAUUUAGUGACCAAUUAUGUAGAAACCAAAUUAACAACCAAUUUCAUGGAAACCAAUUUAGUAACCAAAAUAUAUAGAAACUCAUUUAGUAACCAAAUAUAUAAAUACCAAAAAAAUGUUCACUAUAUUGAUCUCUAAAUAAUAUAAUUUAUUAAAAAAUAUUAUUUUAUUUACCUACUUUCUCUUUAAUAUUAUAUAUUUAUUUAUAAAUUAAAGUUUAUUAAUAUUUUAUAUUUAUUUAUAUAUUUAAGUUCACUAAUUUUAAAAUAAAUUUAUAAAGUUCGUUAACUCAAAUCUUUCAUAUUUUAUAUUUAUUUAUAACCUUUGUUGAGUUAUUGAAAAGAUUUAAUAUUUUUUAAUUAAUGGAUCCUUUUCACUGUAUCUCUUCAUCCCAAUGUGGCUAUUAUUCAAAGUUUAGUUGUUACAAAGUAAUGUUUACAUUCUUCAAAUUACUGCCACAUCCAUCAGAACUAUUUUUUUUGAACCUUUUGCCACACAGAAUGACUGUUUUUCUUCCCUUUACUACUGUGCAAAAAUUUUCUUCUGUUCUCAAUUUGCUUUUCAUGCUACAAAAGAAGAAAGAGGGAGGAAAAUAAAAUAAGUACAAGCCUAAAAAAUAAAGCCUCAAACAAAGAACAAAGAUCAGAAAUCACCAUGCACACGCAUUAUUAUUUCAUGAAUGACUGCAUUAGUAUGUAGACUAAAAUGAAAUUCAUAGUGUGAGUUUAUCUUUCCACUGUGUAUGUCCUCUUUUCUUUCUCUGCGCAAUAUCUAUGGCUAUGCAAAUGCAAAGUGUUGAACUUUAGAAUCUGUGACUGUCCCUGUUUGCAUCUCUAUCUAUCAUCUACAGUCGGUCACUGAAUACUCUUGACUAUAUUAUCAUAAUUCUAAGUACCAACUAUACACCGAAACUCAUAUUUUAGCAUAGGUUUGUUUGAACUCACUUUGAAGUGACGACAAAUCAAAAACUUCUUUAGCAUUAAUAAAGAAAAAAAGUUAACUAUAUCUAAGACUAACAUAAAUAAUAAAAUUAAACAAAGUUAAUUAUAUGAAAUCAACCAAAAACUCUCCAAACCACAAGUCCCUUGUUCAAAUUGGUAUCUUCUUACACGAUGGCCAUGGAUCAGUAUAAUAACUUUUGAGGAUAUCUCCAAUCCCAUUAGUUGCAGGGCAUGAAGGUAAAAAUCUGCAAAAUGACAUAUAAAUUAUCAUUAUUCCACAGUUUAUUAUUAAUUUGGUUGUCCUAAGAUACUACAACAACAAUAAGAGGGCAAUUUACUCAAAAUAUGAUUAAUGUGAAAGAAGUAUUUCAAAACCAAGCUUAACCAAUCUUCAGUAAGGAUUCUCAACACGUUAACCAAGCUUGCAAAAGGUCUCAUAGGCUGAGUUCAAUAGUGCUUCCACAAGCGAUUCCUGGAACUAAAAUCCAUUUUCUGCUAGUUAAGGAUACUAUAGCAGAGAAAAAAACCAACUCAGUGUAUCUUUUCACUCUUAACAAAGUACAAUAAUAUACAAUUAUGAAAGGUUUUCCAAAAUAACCUGAAGAGGCUUCGGUAUCACGGUUUUGAUGAAUGACCACCAUCUAUCUUCAACAACAGCUUUUAUAAGGCAACAUGUCCGCAAACCUUCUGCACCACCAAAUCGUCCAAAUCCACUUUGUUUCACCCCCCGAAUGACAGCGACUGAAAUAGUGGAAAUUGCACAAUACAACUUUAAUUCACUGGAAAUUAUAAUUAUAUGUAACAUAGGUUGAGUAGGUAACAUAUUCUGGCCAUUUGGCUAAAAGAACUGCAAAAUUAUAAGCCAAAAAACCAAAAAAAUAAUUAAAUGCUACUCAUACAACAUUCAUAAAUAUUGUUGCUUACAUUAGAAGUUCCUUUCAAAUAGGCAUCUUGCGGCAAAGUAGAUGUUACAGUAAAUUAAAAGCAUAGAUAAUAUCACUGCUACUAAUGUCCUUUAAGGUCAAACGCCUUCUAAGAGAUGACGAUAAAAUAGUAAAAUAAAUUUUACCUGACACAUGUAUGUUGCACCAAAAUCAUUAAUCGCAGCAAUCCCACAAUGUAUGACUACAUGGGAAAACACCACAUCACAACCCAAAUUUUUCAAAGGUUGUGAGAACGUUACAUAUACAAGUGAUGGUCUUCCCUCAAAACAACUAAGGACAUGAAGCAGUAAAUACAGAAAAGACCCCACAAGCCUGAUUUUAACAAUACUUUUAACUAGAAAGGUUUUCUGCAAGUGUAAGAGGAAUAUUUGAAAUUACACACUUAUUAUUUUGAUAGAAAAGCAUUGAUGAUGAAAUUUUUCUUUUUAAUCAUCACUUCCUCAAAUUAAUACCUUUCCAAAUUUUUAUUGAAUAGAAAACACAAGCAAGAUGACCUAAAAAGCUUUAGUAUAAGUGAACCUGAGAAUAACUAGGCUAUACAGAUCGUGAAGGUUUUGUGGAUAAGUGUCUCGAGGAAAAACAAUGUAAUGUGUAGUUAUUCAACACUUGCAACCACUACUACAUAGACUAUAUCAACAUUAUGACAAACAUGCACACCUGACCCAAUACAUGACCACCAACUUCAAAGUCCUUGCUUCAAUCGCUUGUUUCGCACCUUCAAUGUUCCCGACCUGUGAUAGGAUUAAAAAUACGAGUAAUAGGUUAGAUUCCAAUGACAAACGAUAACCUACAAUUAGCUUUCAACAUGACUCACAAAAGGGACUUCAUAUCACUUAAUUCACUCAACCUAUCCACUAGCAAUAUAAAUUUCUUCAUAAACACUAACAAAAACAAGAAAAUGAAAUACGUUUUUUCAUAUGCUAAAAUUGAUUUAUAUAUAAGUUAAUACCAACUCUUUGAAGAAGCUAAAUCUGCAAGUACUUGUGGAAAGUUUAUCUAAGCAUAAAUAAGGAAGGAGAAUCAUGAAAUAUAAACUCAGCAACGAUACAAGUUAUAGCAGCUGAGGGGUUCAUCGACUUCAAACGAAAUUCUAGUUUAAUUUUCUUUAAUUUGAAAAUAAAAUGGGCUAAGUCUAAAUCGAGCUAGGCAUCAGAAAACACAAGAACAGACUAAUUAAUUUGCAGAGAAAAUAAAAAGAAAACCAAAAUUAGGACAUCAUUGUCUCUUAGGAUUUGCGUAUAGUUAGUAACCUCACUUGAGGAACAACUUUGAACCCAGCAACGUGAGCCUUAUUUACUAAUUCCCUUGUGCAAUCAUCCCAGGAAAUUUGCAAGACUGCAACUUCUUCUUCCAGAAUGACCUUCAAAUUCUCCUCAAAAGCAAAGGCUAGAAAUCACAGCUUUAUUCAAGUAAAGAUUCAAAGUUCUCGUAGAUUCCUACAAAUUGAAAAUGAGAGAAUACAACAUGAGAACAGAAUCUAGGGUUUUAAGAUGGGAAAGAUACAUAGUGAGUAAAGUUGUGCGGGGCUUCCAUGAGCAAACACAAAAUUAAAGGGAAAAGGACGAGAAUGGAGCACGAAUCGAAACUUACGAUGAUAAACGUUGGUCUCCUUCGGAGGAGAGAAGCGCAAAGUGCGUUGUUGCAGAGUGCGUUGUGUUGCCGUGAGUGAGAUAUGAGCAGCGUUGCCGUGAGUGAGAGAUGAACAGCGUUGCCGUGAGUGAGAGCGUUGCCGUCGUGAAUGAGAGGGUUUUCGUCGUGAGUGAGAGCGUUGCCGUCGUGAAUGAGAGGGUUUUCGUCGUGAGUGAGAGCGUUGCCGUCGUGAAUUAGAGGGUUGUCGUCGUGAGUGAGAGAUGAGCAGCGGCGUUGCCCGUGAGUGAGAAAUGCCCAGCGUUGCCCCAUAUGAAGGUUGAGCAGCGUUGCCCUGAGACAGAGAUGAGUAGAAAAAGUUAAAGUGAGAAGAAAGAGAUAACAAAGUGAUUAAAAAUUUAAUUACUUUAAAAUUAGUAUCUAUAUUUAAAAUUAGUAUCUAAAUUCAAAAUUGGUAUCUAAAUUUAAAUAAUAAUGGUUAAAAAUUUAAGUAUCAAUAAUUGUAUGAUGAUUAGAAACUACAAAAUUAGUUUAUAAUUUUUAUUACUUUUAGAGACCAAAAUUUAGUUUCUAAAAUAGAUUAAAAGUGAAAAAAAAAUGGUUUCUAAUUACAUUUUUAACAAGAGACUAAAAAAUGGUUUCUAUAAAUUUUUUUAUUUUAUUUUUAUUAUUAGCUACCAAAAUUAUAGUAUCUAAUUAUAUUAUAAUUUUAUUAAUAAUAGAUACCAUUUUAGUAACCAAUAAUUUUUAGUUUAUAAAAUGGUAUCUAAAUUAGUUACUAUAGACACUAUUUUUUUUUUAGUUUCUAAAUUAGUUGCCAUUCAAUCAUUUUCUUGUAGUGAAACUUGGUAUAUUCUUUGAAAAAUAACACUAGCACGUUAUGAUAAACCCAGUUCUAUACAAAUCAAAAUUUAAAGCUAAUAUAGUAGUGGCAAUCAAUCAUAUGGGAGCAUGAACUGCUGUUAGGUUUCCGGUGGGGUGAGAUUUCUGAAUAUGGCUGACACUUCUUUCUUUUUCACAAAUUUUCCUGAACACUUUCGGGAGAGAGACUUAUGGAGGGUUUUUCAAAGGUGGGGAAGGGUGCUGGAUGUUUUCGUAUCAAGAAAGCUCAACGCAAGGAACCAAAAGUUUGGUUUCGUAAGGUUUCAGGGAGUGAACGACGUUGUAUCUCUAGAAAGAGAGUUGGAUGCAAUUUGGAUUGGUACAUGGAAGUUGCAGGUGAAUCUUCCAAAGUACCAGAGGGUGGAGGCUACAAGGGUGCAGAGAAAUGAGGACUCUAGGUUAGGUUGGCCGCCAAGGAAGAAAGUGACGCAUCCUAGGACGACCUAGAAUCGGGAUCGGACAGAGCAGCAACAGUCGUUUGCCCAAGUGGUUUCGGGGGAGGUAGCUCAGAGUGGGACCGGUGGGAACGUAGGUGGUGCACAGGGGGAAGAGGUUACUAAACUUACGAUGGUUUUAGAGCCUCCUUCCUGGCCUGAAGGUUGCUAUGUGGGUAGCCUUAAGGUGGUGCCUUGCAUGCAGUCGUUGAAAGAGAGCUUCGUCUUGGGAGGUUUUAGUCACGUCAGUAUAAGGCAUCUUAGGGAAAGUUAUGUGUUGUUGUCAUGUGUUGAAGGUGAAGGGAUGAACAAGAUUUUAACUGAAAAUAAAGCCUGGUUUGAUGAUAUGUUCUUGAUGGUUGUACCAUGGGAUGAUUCCUUUGCAGUGAAGGAGAGAUCGGUGUAGAGGCAUCCCGCUUCAAAUGUGGUGCAAUCAGUGCUUUUUCAGGAUAGGGGCGUUGGUAGGGGAGGUGGUGGAGAUUGAUAAAGCAACAGAAAAGAAAGAAAAGUUGGAAUACGCGCGUUUCCGGGUUAAAAUCCCGCUUAACAACAAAGUUAAAGUGGCGAAGGUUCUUAGCAUCAAUGGAGUUUUAUGCACGGUGUCGUUUGAAGAAGAGGCAUGUUUCCCGGACUUUUUCCACAAGAUGUUCAGCGGCAAAGGGGAUGGAGGAGGUUCUGAGGUGGAUACCGAGGCUAGCUCGGAGGAGGGAAGUGUAGGAGCAAGCCUAAGCGUUUCUGCGGGUUCCGAGUUCGAAGUGGCUAGAGGCGGGAAUGAAGGCGGCGAAGGAGGUGGAGGAAUGGAGGUCAACGGUGGUGGAGAUGAGGGGAACGAAGGGUCGGUCCAGGGCAGGCGGGAAUCAUUACUCCUAGGUAGGUUGCGCAAGCAAGGUGAAGGGGUGCCAUCUCAAGGUGCUUUAAGUGGUUCAUUAAUGGUGAAUGACUUUCUAGGAUCAAAGGUUGAAAGCGUGAGUCCACCUUUAAUGGCUGAAGCGUGUAUUCCCAAUAAUUCUAAGGCAACUACAGAAUGGGGCAGGAGGAGCAUUGAUGAAGGAAGCUCAUGCUUUGGUGAGCGUGGGUUACGAAAUAUAGAAGAGGAGUUAAUAGGGAGGUUUUCCGAUAGGGGUGGAAAGGGGUCCAACGUGGAGGGGAGUUUUUCAAGGGGUCUUGCAGGCUGUGGGUCCCUUAGGGUGUUUAAGGGAGUUAAUAAUGAAGGCACGGAAAUUUGUAACGUGAGUGGGAAGGAAGUUGGGUGGGAAUCUUAUGUGGAGGCAGGCUCACAACAGGCUUUAAAUAAAGAGGUAGGUGGAAAGGUUUUGGAAGGUUGCAAUGAUGCGGCUAACGAGGCUCUUGCAGAAGGAUUUUUGCUGGAACAUUUGGGAAGUAAGAGUUGGGUAGGAGAAUCAAUAAGGCCUGGAAUCUCUUUGGAGGUCUCGGAACUAGUUGGAGUAAAGGUGGAUGAAGAGGGCGAGGAUGAGAUACCAUUUUUAAACAGAAACUGAGAAAGUCACGGUUUGGUGAGUAGAGGGUCGAUAGAUGGUAACAAGAUGGAAGAAGCGGAGGAUACACAGAGUUUUGAGGAUCUAGUUGGAGAUAAGGUCGGAAAGCAGCUUACGGUAGACCAAGUUUUUUUGGUCCAUCAAUCUGGUAGUGAGUCGAAUUCACUAUUUGCUUCCGAUAGCGCAAUUGAGAACUGUAAUAGAAUUUUCUGGGUGAAGACGGAUAAGAAUGUAGCUUCCAGUGUCUGGGGAGUUGGGAAAGAGGAAAGUUUUUCGUUCCCAGGCCGAGAAGAAAUAGUUUUAAAUAGUUUUGUUCGUUGUCUAAUCAGGGUGGAGUAACUACGAGAAAGAUGUGGAAGGAAAGGAGAAAGGUAGUUAAUGAAGAUAAUUAGUCUGAAUAUAAGAGGGGCGAGAGGCGCAGUAAAGAGGAAUUAUGUAAGGGAUCUGAUCAGUAGGGAACAAGCAGAUAUGGUGUGUUUACAAGAAACAAAGUGCUCGGAGUUUAGUAGGGAGAAGGUGUGUCUUCUUUGGGGUACCAACGAAGUGGAUUGGGUGGAAAACAAAGCAAUAAAUAAAACAGGGGGAGUGCUUACGACGUGGAGUAACAAGUCGUUCCAGCUUUCCAGUUUCGUUAAUGGCAAAAUUUCACUAUUUUAGAGGGUUUUGGGAAGAGAGGAAAUGGUGCACACUUAACCAUUGUGAAUAUUUACUGCUCUGGCACUCUAAGGGAGAAGAAAGAGAUGUGGAACGAUGUUGGUGUUUUCAGACAAGGGCAACUUUCAAAGGCAUGGUGUAUCAUUGGGGACUUUAAUUCAAUAAGAAGGCAGGAGGAAAGGAGGAGCGUGACGUCGAACUCUGUCUACUCUAGAGAAAUAAAGGGUUUUAAUGAGUUUAUUGAAAGUUCAGAAUUGGCAGAUAUCCCGUUGGUGGGUAGGAAGUUUACUUGGUUUAAACCCAAUGGAUUGGUGAAGAGCAGAAUAGACAGGGUACUGGUUUCUAAAGAAUGGUUGGAUUUGUGGCCUAAUAGCCAACAAUUCGUUUUAAGCAGAUCGAUCUCGGAUCAUUGUGCAGUUAUGCUGAAGGAAGUCUCAGUAGGGGUCCGAAAUCGUUUAGGUGCUUGGAUGUGUGGCAAAAAGAUAGCGGUUUUAAGGAGUUUGUGAGAUCGAGUUGGGUUUCGUACAAGGUGGAAGGAAGAGGAAUUUUUGUGUUCAAAGAAAAGUUGAAAAGAUUAAAAGCAUAUUUAAAGGUGUGGAACAAGGAGGUCUUCGGGGAUGCGAAUCAGUCAUGUAAGGAAAUCCAACAGAGGUUAGACGAGCUAGACUUGCGCGAUGACGAAGACGGGAUAGAUGAAUCAGAAAGAGAAGAAAGAAAGUCCCUCUUUGCCAAGCUAUCUGUCUCUAAGUCUAAACAAGAGGCGAUUCUGUUCCAGAAAGCAAGACAAAGUUGGAUUAAGCAGGGGGAUCUUAAUACGAAGUACUUCCACUCUUCGGUAAAAUGGAGGAGGUCAAGGAAUCAAUUACACGGGAUUUUCGUCAAUAAAAAAUGGAGUGACAAUAAGGAUGAGGUGAAGAUUAAGGUAUGUGAGUUUUUUGAAGAAAGGUUUGCUAGGAAUGAUGUUUGCCAGGUCAGACUGGAUAAGGUCGAUUUCAAUUACAUCUCUGAAGCAGACAAUGAGAUGCUAGUUGGCGAGUUUUCGGAUGAAGAGGUGAAAGCAGCAGUUUGGGGGUGUGAUAGUUCAAAGAGUCCCGGUCCGAAUGGUUUUAACUUUGGAUUUAUAAAAUCUUGUUGGGACAUUCUAAAAGAGGACGUGGUGUUGGCGGUAAAGGAUUUUGCAGGUAAUGGCAGUUGGCCAAGAGGUUCGAAUGCGUCAUUUCUUUGUCUGAUUCCAAAAGUAGAAAAUCCUCAGCAGCCAGGGGAGUUUAGACCUAUUUCUUUAGUAGGCUGUCUGUACAAGAUCAUUUCUAAAGCGUUUUCCUUGCGUUUGAAAAAGGUGAUUGGAAAAAUUAUAGACGCUAGACAGUCGGCUUUUCUUAAAGGAAGAGGUUUAAUGGACAGUGUGCUAGUUGCGAAUGAGGUUUUGGAAGAAUACAAGAGAAAAAGGAAGAGUUGUGUGGUCUUCAAAGUCGAUUACGAGAAGGCUUACGACUCGGUGAAUUGGGAUUUUCUUUACUAUAUGUUUAGGAGGUUGGGUUUUUGUGAUCGUUGGAUUCAGUGGAUUAAGGGAUGUUUAGAGUCGGCUUCGGUUUUUGUCCUUGUAAACGGGAGCCCAACUAGGGAGUUCCUUCCUAGAAGGGGUCUUCGUCGGGGAGAUCCGCUAGCUCCUUUUCUAUUCCUCAUUGUAGCAGAAGGGUUGGUUGGGGUGGCAAGGGUAGCAGAGGAAAAGAAGUUGGUCGAUAGUUUGGAGGUUGGGAAGGGUAAAGUAAAGGUAAAUAUGUUACAAUACGCAAAUGAUACUUUGUUUUUCUGUGAAGCUAACGUCAAAAGCAUGUUUAACAUCAAGGCGAUUUUGCAAUGUUUCGAACUUUCUUCUAGGUUAAGGGUUAAUUUCGGGAAGAGUAGGAUUGGUGGGACGGGGUUGGACCAGGGAAUGCUCCAGCGGUUUGCAUCUAUUCUUAACUGCGAGACGAUGGCUGUCCCUUUUAUAUACUUGGGUAUGCCAGUCAGAGGGUGUCAUAAAAGAGGGGAUUUUUGGAAUGGGGUGAUUGAGAAGGUACAGGUUAGAUUAAGCAGAUGGAAGGGAAGAUGUUUGACGAUGGCUGGGAGGGUUUGUCUGAUCAAGUCCGUGCUAUCCUCUAUUCCGUUAUUCUAUAUGUCUUUAUUCAAAUUGCCCUCGGGGGUGGCUGGAAAGCUGAUUCGGUUGCAAAGAAGCUUCCUCUGGGGAUGGGGUGCAGAAGGAAGGAAGAUGGCUUGGGCCUCCUAGAGUCAGGUAUGUAUGCCACGCAAGUUUGGGGGGUUGGGGGUAAUUAAUGUAAGGUUGUUCAACUUGGCUUUAUUGGGGAAGUGGAUUUGGAGGUUGGGGUCGACCGAGAGAGGCCUUUGGAAGGAGAUCCUCGCAUCUAAAUAUGGAGGGUGGAGAAGAUUGGGAGAGGAAGGAAAAGGUAGGAGGUGUUCUCUAUGGUGGAAAGAUUUGAAAGAGGUGUGGUUCUCGGAGGGUUGGGGGAGAAGUUUUGCAGACGGUUUCAAGUGGAAUAUAGGGGAAGGGAAGGAUAUACUUUUCUGGGAAGAUAGAUGGUUGAAUGACGAGUCUCUAAAGAGUUCCUUUCCAAGGUUGUUUUCUAUUAGCUCUUCCAAGAAUGCUAAGGUGUCAGAGCUUGGCUAUUGGUCGAAUGGCGAGUGGGUCUGGCAGUUGUCUUGGAGAAGACCGUUUUUUUGAGUGGGAGAAGUCGUUGGCGGAGCAGUUGUGUCAGCUUCUGCUAGAGGCUCGAGUUGUUUCGGGAGAGGUGGAUGGUUGGAUCUAGAAGGGAGGGGUUUCCCAAUCUUUUUCGGUUAAUUCUGCCUAUAACCUUGUUAGAAAGGAUAAAGAGACAAUGUUUUCGCCAAUUUUUUGUAAGUUGUGGAAGAGCAAGGCAAUUCCCUCUGCAACUCUCAUGGCUUGGAGGCUGUUGGAAAACAAGCUUGCUACCAGGGUAAAUUUGAGUAGAAGAGGGGUUUUGGUGGAUAGCUCGUUGUGUGGUUUGUGUGGGUUGGUGGAAGAGUCUUGUUGCCAUUUGUUCUUCGAUUGCAGUUUUGCUAGGCGGGUGUGGGGAUUGUGUCAUAGGUGGCUUGGGGUUUCGGUUGCGUCCCAAAUCCAGCCAAAGUGUAAUUUUGAUCAUUUUAGGUUGAGCUGUGCUUCAGAAACGGUUAAUAAUGUCUGGACCACAAUUUGGGUUGGGAUAGUGAGCGAGUUAUGGAAGCACAGGAAUAACAUUAUUUUUAAUAGAGGAGUGGGGGAUGCUUCUGAAAUUUUUUCUUUGGUACAAGUAAAGGUCUGGUUGUGGGUUUCUGUUAAUUGUAGGUCAACCUCGUUUUCCUUUUCUGACUAUUGUUUAGAACCUUUGGUUUGCAUGAUGCUAAUUACCUAAGUUUGGCUUGUUUAGUAAGUUUGUAGGUUUUAGGCUGGUAUGUGUAUAAGGGUUGAACCAUCCCUGAAGUGGUUCCUAUUUAUUUAUUUUUUAUUAUCGAUAAAAAUAAAAUAAAUAAACCCAGUUCUUUGGAGCUGCAGAUCUUCUCAAUUGAACCAGUAACAUAGCCAAUAAGAAUACGACAAAUUAUAUAUAUAUAUAUAUAUAUAUUAAUUUAAUAUUUUUUUCAGUAUCUUAACCGGUUGAGUUAGUGAUUUAGUUUUUGAAAUAUUUGAAGACAAAAUUAUUGAUGAGUCAAAGAAACUGAGACAAAUAAAAAAGAAAGAUUCAAUUAUUUAUAUUUCAUAGCUUUAUGGUAAUGCGCUACCCUUUUGAUUGGUCUCACUUUUUGAAGAUGAAUUGCUUUUCUGUUUUAACUUUUUCAAUACUGUACUCAUUGUAAGAUACAAAGAAAGUAUUCAUUGUUUAUAUAAGAGUAUAUAUAUAUAUAUAUAUUAAUAUAAUUUUAAUUAUAAUAAUCUUUUAAUUUAAUAAAAGGACAUCCUAUACGGUUGUCCACACCCAAGAGAACUACCUCAAGACAAAUUCACAAUAUAGAAAUAUGUCUAACACUGUUAUGUAUAAUUUUUUCUCUUUUUUUACCAAAAAGACAAACUUCUGCUCUCUUUAAAAUGUAACAAACAUUGAUUAAUUGAUAAUUUGAAGUCAAUUCUUUUUUAUUUUUUCUAAAUCAGUACAUAAAUAUUCAGGUAGAAGCAAUUGUUUCUACUGUAGAAGAGGUAAUUUGUACUGUAGAAUCAGUACACAAUUCAAAGGAAGAUAAAUUUUCAGGAUACAUAUACCUUUGAACAUAGAAUGUUGGUCUUUGAGGUAAGGAUACUAUCGCACUCUUGUUUGUUAAUCUUGAUAAAAUUUCACUCAUUGUGGGUCGAUCAUUUGCAUAAUGAUCAACACAUAAGAGACCAAUAUGAAUACAUCUUUGCACUUCCUCGUUUAAUGAUAGAUCCACUAAUUCAAAAUACUUGUCAUCUUUCCAUAAUUCCCAUACCUGUAAGUAUUUACUCAAAUUAGACACAAAUAAUAGUAUCAUGUCAAAUAAACAAACUUACCAAUGUUAAUUUUACAUACAUGUCCAACUAGAUUCAAAGGAUGGUCAUCAUCAUAAAAACUUGUGUUUUUUCUUCCACUAACUAUUUCAAGCAACAACACUCCAAAGCUGUACACAUCAGACUUAAUAGAAAAUAUAACCACUACAAGAAAUUUCACAUGAGAAAAUAAAUUUUAUUUAUACAUGAAAAUUAUGAAAUAUAAACCAAUUUGUAGAAACCAAAAUAAUUAGUUGCAAUAGUAACUAAAUUAGAGACAAUUUUAGAAACUAAAAAAAAAUUUGGUUUCUAAAUUAGUUUCUAUUAUUUUAUAUUAUUGUUAAAUAGUUUCUAAAUUGGUAUCUAAUUAGCAACCAAUGUUUUUGCUACCAAAUUUAGAAACUAAAUAAUUGGUAGUUAAAACCUUAGUUGCUAAUUAGAUACAAAUUUAGAAACUAUUUAACAAUAAUAAAAACUAAUUUAAUAUACUAUUUUUUUUUAGUUCUAAAAUGGUCUCUAUUUUAGUUGCUAUUAUAACUAAUUAUUUUGGUCUCUAAAAAUUGGUUUCUAUUUCAUGAUUUUCUUGUAGUGUGUCCUGCCAUCUUUGACAUCCUCCUUCUGUGUUGUUGUAUCCAUAGGAACCACCGACGUGUAUGGCUGUCAUAUUCAUUUUAUAAAAAUAACUAUGCAUAACAUUCAUCAUAAAUUUAUAAAUAAUUGGUAGUUAAAAUCUUGGUAACUAACUAGAUAUCAAUUUAUAAACUAUUUAUCAAUAAUAUAAACUAAUUUUGAAAUUAAUAAUUUUAGUAGUCUCUAAAAUAGUAUUUAAUUUAGUCAAUAUAACAACUAAUUAUUUUUAAUUUUUAAAAUUAUUUUUUAUUUAAUGAUUUUUAAUAAUAUAUAUAUAUUAAAAAAAUUAAAAUAUAACAAUGGCUGGUUGUUAAAUUAGAAACUAAAUAAUUCGUAGUUAAAACCUUGGUUGCUAAUUAGAUACCAAUUUAAAAACUAUUUAACAAUAAUAAAAACUAAUUUAGAAACCAAUUUUUUUUAGUUUCUAAAAUGGUCUCUAAUUUAAUUAUUAUUGUAACUAAUUAUUUUGGUCUCUAAAAAUUGGUUUCUAUUUCAUAAUUUUCUUGUAGUGAAAGGAAUAUUAGAAAGUUAUGACAAUAUAAAAAGUAUAUAAAUUACAAUUUCAAUAGCUGUUAAGAUUUAUUUAUUUUUACCUGUUAAGAUACAAAAUAUUUUACUACCACUUGCACGGGAUAGUGUUUUAUUUUUUCCUUGUUUGGAUUGUGUUAUAUUUGUUUAUAAUAGUUAAAAAUAAAUAAAAAAUUAUAAAUUAUCUUCAUUUCAGCAAUGUAAGUCAGAAUAACAUAGAACAAUUUAGAAUUUCUGAAACUCGUGUUGUAGAUAUGACCAACCUUUUCUGUUGGAAAGAAAAAGAAAAGAACUUUUAGUAAAAGAAAAGAAAAGUACCAAUUAUCUUUACUAAAAUAAUUGAAAAAGUAUGGAUAAGUUGCUUACUCGGUGUUAGAUUGUAUUUUUGAAGGUACAUGUUUUAUAAAAUAAAAGGUUCGUUUCUUUAUACAAGGUAAAAUUAUUUUAUAAAUAAAUUAAAAGUUAUAUUUUACAAAUAUAUAAACUAUGUUUGAUUCAUAAACAAAUUAUUAAAAAAAAAAUUAAGAUGUUUGCACAUGAUAUCAAUAUAAAGGGAAACACAUUAUCAAUGGCCGACAUAGAGGAGCCAAGGAUUUUAUUACUUGGAAAGGGGAUGUCAAGGGGUUUUUUAGUGAAGUCAUUAGUGAAGUCAGCAUAUUCUAUCUUGGUCGACCAAAGAAAUGGCUUGGGUAAUGAUGUUUUUAAACUUCUUUGGAAGGCCAAAGCUUUACCAAAAGUUUUAAUCACUGCUUGGAGAAUCCUUUUGGACAGAAUUCCAACCUCCAAGAAUCUUAUGUUGCGAGGUGUAGAUAUGAACUCCCCUCUCUGUGCUUUGUGUAACCUCUUUGAGGAAUCCACCCAACAUCUGUUUUUGGACUGUGAUGUGGUAUAUAGAGUGUGGAUGUUGUGUUUCAGAUGGAUAGGUAUCUUGGGAGCUCAAAACAAGGACAUAUGUAAUCACUUCCUGAACUUUCAUUUAUCUAAUAUGUCCGAAAAACAGAAUCAGGUUUGGAAGGGAGUGUGGGUAGCGAUAGUACGUUGUAUAUGGGAGCACAGGAAUAAUGUGAUCUCUAGACAAAGGGUUCCUGACUCUGAGGAAAUCCUUCAAGCUGCUCAGUUAUUGUCCUGGCUAUGGUUGAAACACAGGGAAAGUACUUUCUCUUACUCUUUCUCCGACUGGUUAUUGAAUCCAAUCCAAUGUCUCCUGUGUGUAAGAUAAGCUUAGCCCGGAGCAUAAGGGUUCAUACGUUUAAAGUCAUGUUUUGAGUAUGCAGGUAUCUUUGAGGGGAUAGCAUGUUGGUUAUCAACCUCGGAGAUAGGUAGGGCUGGAAUGUAUGUAGGAGUUAUUGAAGAUUGGAAAUUUUCCCUGAAAUAUUGAUUAUAACAAGGACGGUUUAUACAGAGUUCAUGGUGGAAGUGUUCUCUGUUUUAAGGGAAAGAAUUUCUGGUUGUUUGGUGGUAUUAUGGUUCUAUUAUGCAGGGUACUAGGCCUAAUAGCCUUAGAAGUAGUUGGUUGGCGCUUUAGAGAUGGAGGAAGAGUCGUACGUGCUUCUCUUCUAUUCGGUGAAGUGUAGAACUACACAAAGCAAUUUGGGGUCUGCUGCUGAAGUUACCAUAAACAAUAAUGGAAGCAGAAUGGAAGGAAUUGGUUUGCUAAUAUGGUUGAAGGAAAGCUAAUAAGGAUGCAGGGGAUCUGGUGCUGGGUAUGGUUAUGAAGAAAAGAAUAGAACACUUCCAAAUGAAUUCUGCAGAUGGCCAUGUAAGGGAUUGGACAUUUAAGUUCGCUGCUGGGUCAUGGUAGUUAACAAUGCCAAGACACUACAUAUCAGUAAACUUAUAUGUGGAAGGGAGAAACUGAGCUAGACUUGAGUUAUCGUUAUGGUCAAAGAAGCUUGGAACAAAUCGGGUGCACCAUGAUGGUGAGUAAGGGAGGUUUUAAGUGUUAGACAAAUAUCUCUGUUGGGUAUGGUGCUGGGUAUGGCGAGUGAAUGAAGUGUUACUGGAGGAACAUUUGUAGUGCCUACAAAUGCAGUUUUUAUAUGAUGUUACCUUGGAAAAUAGGUUCAUCUUUCUGAUAUCUUGAGCAGAUGUGGGUGAUGCCUGGGUGGGUUGAAAUGUACAAGCCGCCUGUUUAGCUUUUCACGUGAGUUGGUUGUGCUUUUUAGGGACCAACCUUUUUUAUGCCUAAUGGAGGAACUGGACUCUGGAGCAUGUUUACUGCUAUAAACUCAAGCUUUGUUGAAAAAAUUAGGCAUGCAACAUCUUUAUUUUUAUUUUUAUUCUCUUGUUGUAAUUGUUGUUUAGACUUGUUGUUGCUGGUUCUGUAUAAGGGUUGGGACACCCCUGAAGUGUCCCCUUUAAUUUAUUUAAUUCUUUGCUGAUAAAAAAAAAACAUUAUCAAUGGUCGACAAAACUUUUUGUGUUAUGGGACCUAUAUCUUUCAUUUCCUUUUGCUUUUGAGUAAUCUCUUCUCUUCAAUGAUUGAACUUUCAAAGAUAUGAGAUAUCAUUUUAGCAUGGACAAGUUUAACACUUUUUUUCUCACAAUAGGAAAAUUAUGAGGUCACAUUUAUUAGAGGCCCAUUAUAAUUUUAAAAGAAUUAGUAUACAAAAGGAACUUUAAAUUAGAAAUAGGCUUGAGUCUAUGUUUUUUUCUACAUUGGGUUUAACUUUACUAAUUUUAGUUUUUAUCUAUCUAACAUAAAUUUCUCACUGUUUUGUUUUUAAAAAUUAAACAAUUUUGAGUUUUUGUCAACAUGUAUAAUGCCACUCAACAUUAUUUCUAAGGUUAAUUAUGUGCGUUUAGUUAUGAAAGUCACGUGGAGGGUAGGGUUUCAUAGCUGUUUUUGGGAAGCUUAUCAAGUCUAAUAUGGAUUGUGCGAUAGUAAAUGUGUAUCUUGCGUGCAAUAUGAAAGAUAAAUUGGCUUUAUGGGAGGAUUUCUCUGCUUUAAAAGCUACAACUCGGGAUCAGGCGUGUUGUCUCAUUGGUGAUUUAAUUGCAGUUAGAAAUCCUUCUGAGAGGAGAGGUAUUAGAGAAUGUGGCAUCCAAAAGUGUGAGAUCCUUGGCUUCAACGAUUUCAUUGAAAGAAACUUUUUGGUGAAAUUGCCUGUCGUGGGUAAGAAGUUUACGUGGUACAAGACAAAUGAGUCAGCUAAAAGGAGAAUCGACAGAGUUCUUGUUUCGGAUGAGUGGCUACAAAAGUGGCCUAUGGGCAAACAAUAUAUCUUACUGAGGGAGGUCUCGGAUCAUUGUGCAAUCAUGGUCAAAUCAGUGGUGAAGACUGGGGGCCGAAGCCUUUCAGGUCUUUAGAUGUGUGGUUGAAGGAGCCUGGGUUCAAGGAUAUGGUGAAGGAAAAAUGGAACUCUUAUCCUCGUCACGGAAAUAGUAUGUUUGUGUUCAAAGUUAAGAUGAAGUGUCUGAAAGCUAAUCUUAAGAGGUGGAAUAGAGAUGUGUUCAGGCACCUAGAAUCAAGAAAAAAAAAGGUUCUGAAGGAGAUUGAGGAGCUAGAUGGUCAAGAUGAAGAUGAUGCCCUACCUGAGAGUUUGAGGAUGAGGAGAGUGGCCCUCUUUAGUCAUGUAGAAGAGAUUAAUAAAAACUUGAGUCUCUUUUCAGGUAGAAAGCUAGAAAUAAUUGGCUUGCGUUUGGAGAUUCUAACUCCAAGUUUUAUCAUUUUGUAAUCAGAUGGAGGAGGCUUAGGAAUGAGGUUAAGGUGUUGAUAUGGGAGGUGUGUGGUGUGAGAAGCCUGAGGUUGUUCGUAGGGAGGUGCUGAAGCUUUAUGAAGCUAGAUUUUCUACUUCUCAAGAUUUUGAAGCAUGAUAUUGUAGCUGUUGUUCACCUCUUUCAGGAGACGGGAGGCAUCCCAUAAGGGUGUAAUGCGUUCGUCAUUACUCUUGUUCCUAAAGUGAAGGACCCUAUAAGUAUAGACCAAUACAUGCCAAUUUCUCUGGUGGGCUCGUUGUAUAAAAUUAUCACGAAGGUUUUAUCUUGUCGUAUUAAGAAAGUGUUACGUAGGGUUAUAGAUGAUUGCCAAUUAGCUUUUCUAUAGGACAAAGGGAUGCUAGAUAGCUGGGAAGUGCUGAAGCAUGAUAUUGUAGUUGUUGUUCACCUCUUUCAGGAGACGGGGUGCAUCCCAAAAGGGUGUAAUGCAUCCUUCAUUACUCUUGUUCCAAAAGUGAAGGAGCCUAUAAGUCUAGACCAAUACAGGACAAUUUCUCUGGAGGGCUCGUUGUAUAGAUCGUUGUAUAAAAUUAUCACGAAGGUUUUAUCUUUUGAUAUAAAAAAAGUCUUAUCUGAGGUUAUAGAUGAUUGCCAAUCGACUUUUCUAAGGGACAGAAGGAUGCUAGAUCACUACAAGAAAAUAUGGAAUUACAUACCGCCAAAAUCCGUAUGUAAGACCAAAAAUCCGUAUGCAAAACAUAGUUACAUACGGAUUAUAUACAAGCAAAAAUCCAUAUGUAAAACUAUCGUUGGUAAGUCUUACAUACGGAUUCUAGAUCCAUAUGUAAUUACAUACGAAUUAAUUUGUAUAUAAUAUUCGUAUAUAAAUACAUACGGAUGUAUCUAUAUGUAACAAUAUUUAUUUUUUAAAAUUAAAUUUGUAAUGCACUUGAAAGUUACAUAAAAAGAUCUGUAUGUACGAAUUUUUUAAUAUUAUUAAUAUUAAUAAUAUUUUUUGUUAUUUUUUUAAUAAAUUUAAAAUAAGUUAUAUACGAAUUUUAUGAGUUGGUGGAAGGGGUUGUAAGAAUGGAUUUUAGCAUAUAUGGUUGCCCACGCCCAAGAGAACUACCUCAAGACAAAUACAUUAAGUAAAAAUUGUGUCUAACUUUGUUAUCUAUAACUUUUGGCUCCUUCACCAAAAAGAUGAAUUUCUGCUUUCUUUACAACUUAACAAAUAUUUUGUAAGUGAUUUUUUUAUCAGCAAAUAAACAUUUCUUUAAUGAUAAUCUCAAGUCAAUUUCUUUUUAAAUUAAUAUAUAAAUAGUCAUCUUAAUUUCUUUCUAAAUUAGUACAAAAUAUUCAGGUAAAAGCCGUCUUUUCUACCGUAGAAGAAGUAAUUCCUAUUGUAGAACCAGUAUACAAUUCUAAGGAAGAUAAAUUCUCAUCAUACAUAUACCUUUGAACAUAGAAUGCUGGUUUUUGAAGUAAGGACACUAUUGAACUCUUGCUUGUCAAUAUUAAUAUAAUGUCACUCAUUGUGGGUCGAUCAUUUGCAUAAUGUUCAACACAUAAGAGACCAAUAUGAAUACACAUUUGCACUUCCUCAUGAUCAAAUACCUCAUUUAAUGAUGGAUCCACUAAUUCAAAAUAUUUGUCAUCCUUCCAUAACAACCAUACCUGUAUGUAUUUACUCAAGUUAGUUACAAUAAUAUAUAAGAUCAUGCCAAAAAAUCAAACUUACCAAAGCUAAUUUUACAUACAUGUCCAACUAGAUUCAAAGGGUGAUCAUUGCCAUAAAAACUUGUGUUUUUUCUUCAACUAACUAUUUCAAGCAACAAUACUCCAAAGCUAUAUACAUCUGACUUUGUAGAAAAUAUUCCUUCCAUAGCAUAUUCUGGAGACAUAUAACCACCGCAAGAAAUUUCACAUGAGAAAAUAAAUUUUAUUUAUACAUUGAUAUAAGAUAAAUGUAACUGAGUUUAGUAAGCUCACUAUGUCCCAACAACCCUAUUCAUAUUUGAUAUCAAGUCUUGAUGAGUAAACAUUCUAGCCAUUCCAAAAUCUGAUAUUUUUGGAUUCAUAUUUUCAUCAAGAAGUAUGUUACUAGCUUUCAAGUCUCUAUGAAUGACUUUGAGUCUUGAGUACUUGUGAAGAUACAAUAAUCCUUGAACAAUCCCUUUUAUUAUGCUGAAACGCUUAUUCCAAUCAAGUAAUUUGCUUCUUGUACAAUCUUCUCCAUGUUCAUAUAGUAGUGAUGUACGUUAGAAUGUAUAAUAUAAAAAUGUAAAAAACGAAAGUGACUUUUCUUCAUGAAAACUUGAGUAAUUAUAGUAAAUCUAUUUGAGAAAUAUCCUUAUUCACCUACAUAAGAAUAUAAUGUUAAUAAUAAUAUUAAUUAUAACAUUAAUAAAUAUUAAUAAUAUAAAUAUAAUUUAUUUUAUUUUUAUUAUUAAUAAUAAUUAUAUUAAUAUGUAUAAAUUAUAUUAAUAUGUAUAAGUAUAAUAAAAAUGAUAAUAUGACCAAAGAACUUGUUUGGUCUAGUGGUCAAUGUUUUCCCGGGUCACUGGAAAGACUUGGGUUUGAAUUCUUAUAACAUUAUUUGGGGCUUGAUAAAAAAUAUAAAUAAUGAUAAAUAAAAAUUAGAAAUAAAUUUUUUACAUUGUAUACGGAUAAAUCCAUUUGUAAUAUCCGUAUGUAAUUACAUACGGAUUUUGAUGGUAUGUAAUUCCAAUUUUUCUUGUAGUGAAAAAGGAUUUUAUAGGGUUAGAAGAUUUUUUGCACCUAAACCAUAAAAUAAAUAUACUUUAUAACCAUUUAUAAUAACAUAAUAAUAUUUUAAAUUAAAAAUAAAUUAAAUAUAAUUAAAAUAUUAAUUUAUUAGGACUUAAAGUGUGUAUGUUAUUCUUCAUGGUGUUAACGUAUCUGCACCCGAAAUUAUUGAUAGUCAAAGAAAGUGAAACGAAUAAAAGUUUUGUCGGCCAUUGCUUUAAGAAAGAUUCAAUUAUUUAUAUUUUAUAGCUUUCUCAUUUUUUGAUUGAGGUUAUGACCCAAUCAAAUUGGAGUCUCCAUUUUUGAAGAUGAUUUUCUUUCCUGUUUUAACUUUUUCAAUAGUGUACUCAUUGUUAGAUACAAAGAAAGUAUUCAUUGUUUAUAAAAGAGAGUAUUUGUUAAUUAUUAUUGAUUUUUUUUUCACUUUAUAAGAAGCUUUAUAUAUAUUGAUUAUUAUAUAAAUUUUUUUAAUUUAAUACUUAUAAUCUAAAUAAAAAAAUCAAUUACUUACCAACUCCAAUAUAUAAAUAAAUUCAUAGAUAAUUCAGUAUAUUUUAUUUUAAAUUUUUUAAUUAUUAUUUAAUUCUUUUUAUUAUUAUUUUUAAUUAAUAUUUAUAUAUAUUAUUUAUGUCUACUUUUAGAAUUAUUAUUGACAAUUGCUAUACUAUUAUAAUUAUUAUUAACUAGCGGAAACAAAGUAUCCGCAUUUUCUUCUUUUGUUCAAUUUCUACGAUGAUAAAAAUUUAACAUACAUACAUAAAUUAUUUUGCAUUAGUCGAAAUUAAAAAACAAAAAAUAACAUGUAAAAAAAUGAUGAAUUGUUUCAUCAACCCUUUUUUUUCCCUAUGAUUUGAGUUUCUUUUCUUCAAACUUUUUCUUUUCUUCAAUUGGUGGUAUAAAUAUUAGAAAUUAAAAAUUAGAAAUAAAUUACAAUGAGUGAGACUCGAAACUAAGUAUUUUCAAUAACCAAAAAAACUUUAACCAAUAUUACACCAACCAAAUUUUGUUGUCAUGUUAUGCUUAUUAUUAUAUUAUAAUUAUUAUUAUUUAUUAUUAUUAUUAUUAUUUAUGAAUAUUAGUUAUGAUUUUAUAAUUAUUUAUAUUAUGAUAAUAUUUUUAAUAUUAUGUAUAUAAUUAUUAUGAUUGAUAUUAUUUAUAUUAUUAAAAGUUCUAAAAAUAUUAAGAUUAUUUAUAUUCUUAAUAUUGUUAAUAAAAAUAUUUAUACUAAUAAUUAAUAAUAAUAUUGAAUUUACUUUUAGAUAUACAUUCGAGGGUAAAAUUUGUGGAUAAUGUAAAAAUUUACUUACGAAUAGAUAUCUGUGGAUAAUAAUCUGUCAGUAAACUGAAUUAAUCUACGAAUUCAGACUCGUAGUCAUAUCUUUAAGUAAUGCUGAAUUUAUUUAUGAAUUCAAAUUCGUGAUAAAAGUCCAUCGGUAAAUCUGACUUUGUUAUCGAUAACUUUUGGCUCUUCACCAAAAGGACGAAUUUAUGCUUUCUUUACAAUCUAACAAAUAUUUCUUAAGUGAUUUUUUUAUCAACAAAGAAAUGAUUCUUAAGUGAUAAUCACAAGUCAAUUUCUUUUUAAAUUAGUAUAUAAAUAUUUAUGUAAAAGUAGUCAUUUUACUUUCUUUCAAAAUCAGUACAUAAAUAUUUAGGUAGAAGUAGUCAUUUCUACUGUAGAAGAAGUAAUUUCUACUGUAGAACCAGUACACAAUUCUAAGGAAGAUAAAUUCUCAUUAUACAUAUACCUUUGAACAUAGAAUGCUGGUUUUUGAGGUAAGGACACUAUUGGGCUCUUGCUUGUCAACAUUAAUAUAAUGUCACUCAUUGUGGGUCGAUCAUUUGCAUAAUGCUCAACACAUAAGAGACCAAUAUGAAUACACCUUUGCACUUCCUCGUGAUCAAAUACCUCAUUUAGUGAUGGAUCCACUAAUUCAAAAUAUUUGUCAUCUUUCCACAACUCCCAUACCUGUAUGUAUUUACUCAAAUUAGAUAUAAUAAUAAUAUCAUGUUAAAAAACGAACUUAUCGAACUUAAUGUUACAUACAUGUCCAACUAGAUUCAAAGGGUGAUCAUCGUCAUAAAAACUUGUGUUUUUUCUUCCACUAACUAUUUCAAGCAACAAUACGCCAAAACUGUACACAUCAGACUUCGUAGAAAAUAUUCCUUCCAUAGCAUAUUCUGGAGACAUAUAACCACUGCAAGAAAUUUCACAUGAGAAAAUAAAUUUUAUUUAUACAUUGAUAUAUGAUAAAUUUAACUGAGUUUAGCAUGCUCACUAUGUCCCAACAACCCUGUUCGUAUUUGAUAUCGAGUCUUGUUGAGUAAACAUUCUAGCCAUUCCAAAAUCUGAUAUUUUUGGAUUCAUAUUUUCAUCAAGAAGUAUGUUACUAGCUUUCAAGUCUCUAUGAAUGACUUUUAGUCUUGAGUACUUGUGAAGAUACAAUAAUCCUUGAGCAAUCCCUUUUAUUAUGCUAAAGCGCCGAUUCCAAUCGAGUAAUUUGCUUCUUGUACAAUCUUCUCCAUGGACAUAUAGUAGUGAUGUACAUUAGAAUGUAUACUAUAAAAAUGUAAAAAGCAAAAGUGACUUUUCUUCAUGAUGCUCUGCCUAGGAAAACUUGAGUAAUUAUAGUAAAUAUAAUUGAGAAAUAUCAUUGUUCACCUACAUAAGUUUUUGGAUAGUUGCAUGAUAAUGAAAACAACAUUUAUUUUUUUAACAUCCUAAACAACAGAUAAUUAAAUAAUGAUCAACACAUUUCUCACCGAAAAGAUAGAAAUCUAAGCUUUUGUUGGACAUAUAGUCGUAAAUUAGAAUCUUCUCUUCUUCAUGAAUGCAACAACCAAGUAGUUGAACAAGAUUCAUGUGCUGAAGUUCGCAUAUAAGUGUUAGUUCAUUUUUAAACUCAACCAUUCCUUGUGUAGAACUUCUUGCAAGUCUUUUUAUAGCAACUUCCUCUCCUGUUGGCAAUGUUCCCUAAAGAAAUGAAAACAAAAAGGUCAUUAGUCCUCCGAAAUAAAAUUACCAACACAUAAGAUGAGUAAUUUGAAUCACCUUAUAAACUGGUCCAAAGCCUCCCUGUCCUAACUUAUUCUCUGAUGAAAACUCAUUUGUAGCUGCCACAACCAAUGUAUAAUCCAAUACUUUUAAACCGUAUUUCUUAUUCAAAUCAUUUCCUAAAUCUUCGAUUAGACUCAUUUCUUUCCUUUUCUUCUCUGUUCAGAUGACAAUGAUCAAAUAUGAAAAUAUAGUGAUCAAAUUGUUCUUUAACAAUGAGUUAGAAGAAUGUAAGUACCUUGAAGCACAUGUUUUCGUUUCUUUAUUGCCAGGCAUAGAAUGGAUGCGCAUAUUAUGAGUAAAGUAGUUGCUAUUCCUGUACUUAUCCAUAUCCUCCUUUUAGUACCUGCAUUUGCAUACAACAACUCAAAAUCUUCCAAGUAUGAAUUAUUAAUUUUAUGGCUUUAUAAUGUUUUGCAAUGCCAUUUUUAAGCGUUGCAGCCAAUGACUUAUUUCCUUUUCAAUUUGGAGAUCAAAGACUGCUAAAAACAGAAAUUUGUUUUGGUGCAGUUCCCUAAGAUCCACAGUAAAGUUGUACAAAGAAAGAAAUGCUCAAGAAUUAUGCACUCUAGAUAAAGGGUAUAUUUGAAUUUAGGGUAUUGGAAUCUUUAGACUUUGCUCUACAUAUUUUAUGGUGUGAUGGGAAGCAUUAGAAAUGAAACUUCUUUUUGUCUAUAAAGAAAUGAAAUGAAGUUGGCAUUAGACAUACCCUGAUGAUGAGGAAUUAUGUUCCCUUUGUUCUCAAGUAAGUAAAUGUCUUCACCCGAAACAGUGGCUUCAACUAUAUAAUCUUUUGAUGAAUUCCAAUGAUAGAACAUACAUCCACUUCCAUCAUUAGAGAAUUCUUUGAAUCCAUUGCAAUAACAAUCGCUCCAGCAAGCAGCCUCACAAUCGCUGUAACUAAUAUUCUCAUUCUCGUCAGCUGUUACGUUUUGAUAAUUAGAGCGAAGAAUCUUUUUGGUAAAGACAUCACCAGGAAUCCUGCAUUUAGGUAUAUCCUGCCAUCUUUGGCACCCUCCUUCUGUGUUGUUGUAUCCAUAACACAGAUCAGCUCUUGCAACGUCUCCCUCGUUGUAAUUGCAAGAUAACUGCCCAGUAUCCGAUAGGAACCACCGACGUGUAUGGCUUUCAUUUUUAGAUGUGAAGGAGAAGGUGUCUUCAUCCCCAUUGGACACUAUGCUGUACUUCAACACGCCUUGUGCAUCUUCUGGGAUGUUCUCAAAUCUAUUGUUCCUCACUUUCCCACUUUUCCAACAAACUUUUCCUCGCCUCCUUAUCAUCAGUUCUUGUUCCCUCGGUUCCCAUUCAAGACUAAAGGCACCUCGAGUCGCACUCCCAUAGGUCAACUGCGAAAAAAGUAACCAACGAUGGCCUGUUUUGUGAUUAACACCUAACUUCAUGGUGGGGAUCAAAGUGUUGGUGGGAUAAUCAAAACUCUGCCACAAGAGAGUGUUUGUCCCAUUGGGGUGAAGGUGUUGAAGCACAAAGUUGCCUGUGUCCAACAAAGUGGCCACAGUGUUGUUGAUAGGUUGAGGUGGAGAAUACAGAAUAAUUGGUUUUUUCACAGAUGCAUAUUCUAUUUUCAGCACGCCAGAUAAAUUUAAGGAUAGAACUGCAUCGCUGUCGUCGAUAGAUUGUUCUUGAUUAGCGUCCCAAACUAUAGCAUUGUCAUACUCACUCAUUAUUGCUAAGUAAGGAAAAGAAUCAACUUGACCUCCAAUCUUAAUAAAUGCUAAAAGAUAUUUGUUACUCUUAGAAUACAGUGGAUGCAAAGAGGAGUUGAUUGUAUCACCAGGGUUUAAACUGUCAUCUGCUGCAUCAACAUGGAUAGAAGAACUCCACCACAACCACAGCUGCAUGAAAGCAAGCACAAGUUUCUGAAAGAUAAGCCUCAUAGGAUGCUUCAAAUAUUGAAAGACUAAUCUGCAAGAAGAAGGUGAGACUGUGAUACUAUGUCGUAAGUUGAAAUAAUGUGUAUGUACUUUUUAAGUGCAAUUUUGUUGUUGAAAUGUUAGUGGACAAGUGACUUCUCUUUAUUACUUUCUUUGUAAAAAAUUAUCUGUUAAAGCAUCAGAAAGCAAACCUGAUCAAACCCAAAAUCUAAAGAAUUGGCAAAGUGAUAACAAAAAGAAUCAGAAGACUUAAUUGAUUGUAACUGAUUUUUUUGUUCUGCAAUUACUACUACUACUACUAAUAUUAUUAUUAUUAUUAUUAUUAGUAGUAGUAUUAUUAUUAUUAUUAUCAUUAUUAUUUAAACAUUACAAAAAGAAUUACUAAAAAAGAAUUAAUUUAUAAAAAUUAAUUAUUAUAUUUAUUAAAUUAGAUAUUAUUAAUAAAAUAUAAUUUUAAUAUAAAUAAUUAUUUUAGUCUUUAAAAUUUAUAAAACAAUUUUUAAAGUGUUAUCUAAUUAAUUAUCAAUAACUUAUAUUUAAAAUUUGGUGAUUAAUUAAAUAUUAAUUUAAAAAUAUUUAUCGUAAAAGUUAUUUUAAAUAUCAAUUUUUAUAGUUUAUAAAAUAAUAUUUUAUUUAAUUAAUGUAAUAAUUAAUUAUUUUUUAUUUUUUACAAUUAAUUUUUAUUUAAUAUUUUUUUAGUAAUAUUUAUUUAUAAUAAUUAUAAUAAAUAACAAUUUAUAAAUUAUGUUUAUUUCAGCAAUGUAAGUCUAGAUAACACAGAAAAAUUUAGAAUUUCUCAAAGUCGUGGUCUAGAUAUGACCAACCUUUUCUGUUGGAAAAAAAAAAAGAAAAGAACUUUUAGUAAAAGAAAAGAAAAGUACCACUUAUCUUUACUAAAAUAAUUGAAAAACUAUGGAUAAGUGCUUACUCGGUGUUAGAUUGUACUUUUGAAGGUACAUGUUUUAUAAAAUAAAAAAAAAGGUUCGUUUCUCUAUACAAGGUAAAAUUAUUUUAUAAAUAAAUUAAAAAUUAUAUUUUACAAAAUUAAUAAAAAUAAUUUUUACAAAUAUAUAAACUAUGUUUAAUUCAUAAACGAAUUAUUUUUAAAAAAAUUAAGAUGUUUGCACAUGAUAUCAAUAUAAAGGGAAACACAUUAUCAAUGGCCGACAAAACUUUUUGUGUUAUGGGACCUAUAUCUUUCAUUUCCUUUUGCUUUUGAGUAAUCUCUUCUCUUCAAUGAUUGAACUUUCAAAGAUAUGAGAUAUCAUUUUAGCAUGGACAAGUUUAACACUUUUUUUCUCAAAAUAGGAAAAUUAUGAGGUCACAUUUAUUAGAGGUCCAUUAUAAUUUUAAAAGAAUUAGUAUACAAAAGUAACUUUAAAUUAGAAAGAGGCUUCUGUCUAUGUUUUUUUCUACAUUGUGUUUAACUUUACUAAUUUUAGUUUUUAUCUAUCCAACAUAAAUUUUCUCACUGUUUUGUUUUUAAAUUAAACAAUUUUGAUUUCUUGUCAACAUGUAUAAUGCCACUCAACAUUAUUUCCAAGGUUAAUUAUGUGCAUUUAGUUAGGAAAGCCAUGUGGAGGGUGAGGUUUCAUAGCUGUUUUUGGGAAGCAUAUCAAGUCUAAUGUGGAUAGUGCGCUCAUAAAUGUGCAAUAUGAAAGAUAAAUUGCCUUUAUGGGAGGACCUAUCUGCUUUUAAAAGCUACAACUCGAGAUUGGGCGUGUUGUCUUUGGUGAUUUUAAUGCGGUUAGAAAUCCUUCGGAGAAGAGAGGUAUUAGAGAAUGUGGCAGUCAAAAGUGUGAGAUCCUUGGCUUCAAUGACUUCAUUGAAAGGAAUUUUUUGGUGGAAUUUCCUGUCGUGGGUAAGAAGUUUACGUGGUAUAAGGCAAAUGGGUCAACUAAAAGCAGGAUUGACAGAGUUCUUGUUUCGGUUGAGUGACUACAAAAGUGGCCUAUGGGCAAACAAUAUAUCUUACCGAGGGAGGUCUCAGAUCAUUUUGCAAUCGUGGUUAAAUCAGUGGUGAGAGACUAGGCCGAAGCCUUUCAGGUCUUUAGAUGUGUGGUUGAAGGAGCUUGGGUUCAAGUAUAUGGUGAAGAAAAAAUGGAACUCUUAUCCUGGUCAAGGAAAUAGUAUGUCUGUGUUCAUAGUUAAAAUGAAGUGUCUGAAAGUUGAUCUUAAGAGGUGGAAUAGAGAUGUGUUCGGGCACCUAGAAUUAGGAAAAAAGAAGGUUCUGAAGGAGAUUGAGCUAGAUGGUCAAGAUGAAGAUGAUGCCCUACCUGAGAGUUUGAGGAUGAGGAGAGUGGCCCUCUUUAGUCAUGUAGAAGAGAUUAAUAAAAAACUUGAGUCUCUUUUCAGGCAAAAAGCUAGAAAUAAUUAGCUUGCGUUUGGGGAUUCUAACUCCAAGUUUUAUCAUUCUGUAAUCAAAUGGAGGAGGCUUAGUAAUGAGGUUAAGGUGUUGAUAUGGGAGGUGUGUGGUGUGAGAAGCCUGAGGUUGUUCGUAGGGAGGCGUUGAAGCUUUAUGAAGCUAGAUUUUCUACUUCUCAAGAUUUUGGAGUCAGACUUGAUAAUCUUUCAACAAUUCAUAAUCUUUCCUGUAUAAUAUAUAAUCAUUAGGACAUGCAUAUAUAUAUAUAUAUAUAUAUAUAUAUAUAUAUAUAUACUCCAUACCCAUUGGACAAAGAAUCUUUUUGGCCUCAAAAUUACGAUUAGGUAGAAUAUUUUCCUCUGGAAGCAUAUCCUUCAACAACUGAAGCAAUUUCGUUAAGCUUUUAUCAGUCCAUCCAUUUAUUGGCUUCUAAUUCAUCAAUCUUAACACCGUCGACAACUGUGUGAAGUUAGUUGAUCCAGGAUACAAUGGAGUCUCUGCAUCGCUUGACAUACUUCCAUAUCCAUGCGCUUCUACAAAAGACUCAGUUUCCACAUCACCAAUUAUGUCCUCCAAUCGAUCAUCAUCUACAUCAUCAUGUACUGCAUCAUCCAUGGUGGACCCCACAUAUUCUUCAGUUACGGAAACACGUGGUAAAUUUAAUAAUUCACCAUGCCAUGUCCAAGUUGUAUAAGAUCGAAGAAACUCAUCACAUAAAAGGUGCUCCCUGAUUAUCUUAACAUCCAGUAUCCUUCCAUUCAAACAGUUAACACACAAACACUUGAUCUUUGCUCCAUCAUGACCAUUAUUAUUCGCGUUACGUUGCACAAAUUGUAUAAAUUCUUUUACUUCUCUUUCGUACUUAUCACUUAUGCGAACAAAAUUAAUCCAAUUUUGAUCCAUCCUGUAAUAGUCAUUCAUGUGUUUUCUAAUGAGUGUUCUAUCUCACACGUUUGCUAAGGGUCGAACACCCUCAGACUCAAUACCAACACGAUAAUUUUAUUCUAAACUAACAUCUAACAUAAUAUAAAUUAAUAAUAAAUAAAAAUUAUAAUAAUAUACAAAAUAAACCAUGAAAAAUUGAAUCCACUAAAACAUAUUAGGAUGAAAUGCGAAGGGAAGCUUCAUGCACCCUAUGUCACAUCAUUAAUAUUUUUAGUUUUAUCUUUCAUAGACAAUGUGAUGGAAAAGAAUAAAAUGAAAUGACGUGAAAAUAGUUAAAACAAAUUUACUAGACCGUCUACUAAUAAUAAUAAAAAAAUCAUAACGGAGAAACUUGCAAGAACAGCUAGAUGGUUAACACAAAGGAGUAAGGUUGAAAACAUAGGAAGAAAUUAACAUGGCUCAAUUAAAGUGUUAACAAACUUCAAUCUACAUCUAUGGUUAAAAAUUCCCUAUUAACGUAUAUUAUAACUCAAAGUUUCUCUCGAAAACUCUUAAUUCUUAACUAGUUGAAACUGUUAUAUAAGACUCUAUUUAUACAAAAAUAAUUAUCAUAAUUAGUUUUCAUAAAUUAAACAUAAACUAGUGAAAAAAGUCACAUGAACAAUACUUUUACAAAUGAACUCGAAAUGUUAUGAAGGAUGAGAGACAAAAAAAAUUACAGUUUGAAAUAGGGUAGACUAUCUGAUACUAUCAAAGCCUAAGAAUAGAUGCAUUGAAGAAGAUAGACGAACUAAUCAAGCAUCAGACACUCUUGAACUAUCAUAUGAAUUAUUUUAUCACAUAGUGUAGGAAUGUUAAUAAAAUUUAACUAAACCAAUAUGCGAUGAAUUGUCUCAAAAAUUUAAAAGACUACGAUGGACAUUUAAAAAAAAGUUAAUAAAUAAAAAUGAGCAUAAAAAUAAGUUAAAAAAACUAAAAAGUAAAAUCUAACUAAAAAUAUAUGUGGCAUGUUAGCAACCAUUAAUAUGACGAUUGGAAGGGAUCUUCGUUGGCUGUUCUUUUGUGGAAACAUGUUUUCAUAGAACUUUAACUUUAACUUUGCUUUUGCACGUAAAGAGAUCCAACUGCUAUUUAGCAUGAUAUCUUUCACAUUAAUUUGGUCUAAAUCAUAUAUAUUUUGUAGUUUUUCUGAUGACAAUAUUUUCCCUUUUACGUCAUAGAUUAAUUGAAUAAAACUUAUUUAUUUUUAAAAUUAAAAGCACUUGAAAAAAAUAAAGAAUAAAUAAGAAGUUAUCUAUCUACUUAUAAUUUAUAAAUCUAAAGCAAACCUGUAACCACAUCAGAUUUUUGGCUUUGUUGUAUUUUUUAUUUUCUCUUUAUUUAAUUUUAUUUAAUUAUAAUAUUUAGUAUUUUUAACUUUAGUUUAUUUUUUUUAAGUUUUUGUAUUUAUAUAUUUAUAUAUAUAAAUAUAAAUAAAAAAAAUAAAGUUAAGAAAUAAAUAAAACAAAAUUUGUGAACAAUGUUCCUAUAUUACAAUAUUAACCUCUAUCUUGUUUGCUUAGCUCAAUGCUUUAUUUUUUUUAUUGGCAAUAAAAAAUAAAUAAAAUAAAAAUAGAACCACUUCAGGGGUGGUUCAACCCUUAUACAUAAAAAAGCUAAACCUAACGCCUCCCAAAAACCAAACCAACUCUUCUAUCCCUUACAAAACCAAGCAAAAAAACCUCAAGAAACUAACCUCUCGUACACUCCAAAGGAGCCAAACACCAAUCAGAAUAAGAAAACGAAACUAACAGGGAAUUUGUUGAAACCCAAGACCAAGCCUUUACCUGUGCCAACGCAAAGAUCUCUUUCUCGUCUGCCACUCCUCUAUUAAAAAUUAUACGAUUCCUGUGACUCCAAAUCUCACUUAUCACCCCAACCCGAACUCAAUGCUUUAUGAUUUUGCUUAGUACUGAGUGAAACCAAGGUGUUUCCAGUUUGAGGCAGUGGUUAUAGGUUUGACGGUAGUUGUAUUUCAUCUCAGAAAAUCAUAUUUUGCUGCUAUGUUUAUGCUUUCCACUUUCGCCUUCCUUAUCUUCUUUCUUCCUACUUAUCAACCUCCCAUUUUUUAUAACACACUUCCUUUCUACAUCUCAUUAAUUACUCUCUACCAUUUCAUUUCCCUAAGCUUCUGUAUAUUUGAUAUACCUCAUGCAUACAUAUGAUACACUACCUUGUGAUGCACUGUUUAUUUUAAAUGCUUUUGUCCUAAUAUGAAAAACCAAUAUUAUUCAUUCUGUUUGAUAUUUCCACCCAAGCCUUUUAAGUGUGUCAUUAUCAAAUUAUCUACAUUUCACACUAUUCCAUAUACUUCUUUUAUGUUCUUUUUUCUGUUGUAACAUGUGCUUAUCAUCGUUUGAAACAUCACAAACCGGUUUUAAAGAGUUAAAUUUAAAGUCGACUCCUUAAGAUGAUAUCAAAGUCAUUUAGAGUUUAUUCUAACAAGAGUUGUUGGACCUAUCGUGACAUUCACUAUCGAAUCAUCCAUGAAUGUCUAGUCACACGCAAUUCACUAUUAGACCACCCAUAAAGAUCUAAUCUCACGCAUGAAUUGACAGUCUCAACGUCAGGGGUAUGUGUUGAAGAUGUCACAUCGAAUAAAUAUAAGGUCAAUUCAUAGUGUAUAAUUUAUGCAAACCUCAUCUUACAAACCAAUUUUGUAAAGUUGACUCAGGCUUAAAUUUCACUUCUCACGACUCAUGAAUUACAAGCAUUUCAUACCUUUUUUAUUAUAACUUUUUGUAUUAUCAAAUGCAUAAGUUACAAAAAGAAAUCCAUAAGUAAAAUUGAGCUAUCUAUGGGACUGAUGACCAAAAAUAUGUAAGUAACUCCCAUGUAUAAGGCUAUUACCUACAAAUUUAAAAAUUUGUUAAAAAUUUCAUAUAUCAUAUUAGUAGAUAAUGUCCAUAUGUACUUAAAUACAACAUUCGUAUAUAAUUACCUAUAAACUAAAUUUGUAUUGUAAAUUACCUAUAAACUAAAUCCGUAUGUAUUACCUACAUACUAAACUCGUACAUUACCCCUAUAUAAUUACAUAAGGAUUUACUAUAAGAAAACAUAUAUAGAGAGUGAGUCACUAACUCUCUGAAAAGAUAAAAAAAUUACUCUAAUUAUAUUUUUUGUGUCGUGUGUGAUAUCAUUCUUGGCAGUAGGAAUAUGGUUGGUCUAAAAGUAGAUCAUGUAGAACCAACAAUGAAAGAUGUUUUCUAGUUGUUGCAUAGUCCUGCAUAAUUGUGCAGCAGUCAAGGAGCUUAGCUCGGUCAUGAAGUUACACGGGCUAACAAGGAUCAAGAAGAAUGGGUGUUGAAUUCUUGUAAUGUUUUUAGAUGAGUAAGUUGUGAUCGUGGGGGUAGAAGAGAGGCACUUUGACACGACCUGCAUACCAAAUGAAGAGGAUGAGAAUGUUUUUGGUGAAAUUCACAGCUUAACCUUUAACUCUUUUCAAAACAUCAUCAAUUUUUUAUGCAGCUUAUGUCACUGAGAAGCUUUUCAGAAGGGAAUAGAAAUUGCUAUAGCUUGAAGACCAAAUAGGGAAGGUAUUAGAUACUUUGUGAGCGCUUUGAACAUGUUUGAUUCGGGAAAAUAUGGAGGAAUUACAGAUUUCGCAGUAUGGUGCCAUCUGUUUUUGCAAGUUUUUGGUGCAGGACAAACUGGUACUCUGCUUUAAGUUUACUGUUUAUAUGAGGAAGCUAAGCUUGUUAUCUGUUAUACUACAACUUUUGUUUUAUGAUAGAUGAUAGACUUUGGUUAUUUGCUGUACACAUGGUUGAUUUGUAUGAGAAACAUGCAUAGUGGAUAGUGGAAAGUUAUAAGAGAGUUAUUUUUUUGUCUUCUACUUAGGAACGUAAACUUGACAAUUUUUAAAAAUUUAAGGGUAGAGAGUGUUGCAAUUUCUAAAGAUACUCAUAGUGAAAACUCUAUUUAUGGAUGUAGACUUGAUUAACAAUCGAACCACUUAAAAUUAUUUUUUUGUGAUUUUUGUACUUUGUUAUACCCUAUUUCACUUUCUCAUUCAUAUUUUCUAUUUAUUUUUGUUCAUAUUAAUUUGAUUAAACGAUCUAGUGAACUCUGUUUGUACUCAACAAAAUGGUAUGGUGAGUAUGGAAUGAAGAAACUCAAUCAAGAUGAAUUUUGAAAAGUAUGAGGUUGAGAAAUUCACUGGUUUGAAUGAUUUCGGGCUAUGGUCAUUGAAGAUGCAUGCUUUUCUAGUUCAAUAGGGUUUUCUUGAGGCUUUAGAAGAAGAUUUGAAGGGGUGUUUUGAAGUGAGUUCUUAAGAAUCCUAAGGUUUUUAAUGAUAAAAUUAAUGCCAAUGGACCCAAAUUUGUUAGGGGACCAAACCUUGCUACUUGAUCUUAUUUUCUUGUAGGUACUCUUACACUACAAGAAAAUCAUGAAAUAGAAACCAAUUUUUAGAGACCAAAAUAAUUAGUUACAAUAGGAACUAAAAUAGAGACCAUUUUAGAAACUAGAAAAAAAUUGGUUUCUAAAUUAGUUUCUAUUAUUUUCUAUUAUUGUUAAAUAGUUUCUAAAUUGGUAUCUAAUUAGCAACUAAGGUUUUAACUACCAAUUAUUUAGUUUCUAAAUUUGGUAGCAAAAACCUUGGUUGCUAAUUAGAUACCAAUUUAGAAACUAUUUAACAAUAAUACAAAAUAAUAGAAACUAAUUUAGAAACCAAAUUUCUUUUUAGUUUCUAAAAUGGUCUCUAAUUUAGUUACUAUUGCAACUAAUUAUUUUGGUUUCUAUUUCAUGAUUUUCUUGUAGUGUUAAGAAUCAAGAAUCUUUGGAUUAAAGAAUCAAGCUUGAAAGGGAAAGAUCCAAACUGGACUUCUAGUUGCUUAUCUUAAUUGCACUCUGUUAUCUUGAAAGUCAAAAGGAUUUCUUAAAUCAUGUACCAUGGCUCCUUGUGAAAGUAACUUUGUCUAAAGGAUAAGAACUUAUGUCUUCUUAUUUCUUAAACUUGUAUCUCCUUUCCACUUGAAUUAUGUAAGAUCUCAUUUGAUGUCUUUAAAUGUGAAAUCUCCCAUCUAUGCAAAGGGUAUGUGAGUAUUUCUAUUCUGGUUCCUCUUUGCCAAGAAUUCUUGAUUUGUGAAAAUCAUAAUUGCUAUCAUAAAAAAAUAACCGAUUAUUUUCACGAAACAAACGAUUGAUUCCCCUCUGACAACAUUGCAUUAGAGUUGAUUUAUUUCUCUAUGCAUUGAUUCUGCUGCUGAUUCCUUUUCAAAGUUGUUAUGAGUCAAAAUUGCACAUAUCAUGGCUUUGAAUUCGCUCUAAAAGGAAGUUAUGAUGAUCAUAACUGGAAUAUAUUCCAUAUCUUCUUGGAAAAUUAAGAGCCAUUAUGACUAGUCAAAGUCUACAUGUGCUAACCAUGUGAUUUCUGGUUUUAUCUGACGUGGGUUUGUGUGCCUCUAAACAGAUUCUUUUCCUUGAGGAAAACAACCCACUAAAAGCCAAAAUAUGUAGCUUCUUUUACUUCCUAUAUAACAAUGUUUUAUGCAGUUGUUUUCCUUCACAGAAUCAACCCAUUAUUUUUUUUACUCUCAUUUCAAAACUACUGCACUCUUCUUGCUUUUGAAAUUUCCUCCUUCCUCUAAAAGGAUGAAGACUCGUGUUGAGAAGACAGGAGGACGUCUUGAAAGCUGGUUUUCUAGAGAAGAUGUCAAGAUUGAGAAAUUCCUACAUGAAAUGAGUAUGAAAGCAAUCAAUAAUCUAAAGAUCAUUUCCUCAGGUGGUUGAAAGAAAAAAAGCUCUCUGAAGUAAGAGAUAUUUUGAAAGAACAUAUGCUGAAAACGUUCCUGGAGUUGUCAUGGAAUAUCUAUCCUGACCUUGUGAGGGUUUUCUACACCAAUCUUCAAAUUGUUGGUGAUAACAUCUGCUCACAUGUGAAAGAAGUUGAUAUGGAGAUAAUUCGUGAAGUCUGGACUGCAAAUGUUGGAUUGAAAAUGAAUAAAGGGAACAUUUGAGUUGUUGAAGAAUUCAACAAAAUGCAGUUUUAUAAAAGCUAUCUUAAGAAUCCCCAAUCCAAACUGAGGAACUUUUCUAUUGGUGGCCUAAAACUAAAUGAAAGAAUAGUGGCUUUUAUUGUUUCAUGGAUAUUAACACCAAGAGGAAGAACCCAGUCUAUGCUGACUGAGGAAGAUCUUGUGCUCAUUUGCAUCAUGAACAAGAUCAAGAUCAAUUGGAUACACAUUAUUAAGGAGCACAUGCAAAAAUCUAUGAGGUUAUGUGACUAUCAUUACCCAUACGCUAUUCUUAUCUCUAAAUUUUUGCAUUAUUUUGAUGUUGAUCUUGAAGAGGAGCAAUUUGAAGUGAUGAAGUCAUCACAUGAGGUGAACAAUAGUUCCCUUAGCAAGAUGAGUUUCACCAAAAUUAAAGGGAAAUGGGUAAGCAAAGACGGUGAUCAAGCUGGCUCUUCAAGUGUAGUUUAAGAUGAUGAAGAACAACAUAUUGUUGCUGCUGUUGGAGAUGAUGCAUGUGCUAAUGCUUAUGAUACUGAAGCUGUUGGUGCCUUUAAUGUUGGUCCAAGUACAGAAAACAUGGGAGAAUGCAUUACCUCUAUGUCACCAUUUGAAAGGUUGAUGGUGAGCAUAAUGGACAACUUUGCAGAUGAACAAAGAACUCAUCAUGAGUUUUGUGUGGUAAGAUUUUAGAAUUUGGACGAACAGAUUGAGGCUGUUCAGAAUCAACUCUUUGAGCUCCAAUAUGGGAAAGAGGAUUGAAGACCUUUAAAUGUUUUCUUUCUUAUUCUGUUUCAUCUUGGUGAACAAUUUUUCUUAAUUUUGUUUUUGUCACAUGUCUCACUCUAUUUGUGAAGACAAAUAGGGGGAGAUUUAUCUAGUUUAUGUGUUAAACUCUGCUGCAUUUAUCUAGUUUAUUAUCUGGUUUAAAUUCUGCUGCUUUGAGUUGUUGUUUAUGCUCUGAUUCUGCACCUAUCUCACUGGUUUUCACAUUGAUUUUGCUGGUUUUCUUGCUAGAAACCACAUGAUGAAAACUAGUUAUUUGGUGUUGUUUAAACCUGGACUUUAUUGCUAUCUAGUACAUGCACAAUUGCUAUUUUGCAGUUACUUUUAAAUUCAAACAUAACAACACAAGAAACCAGGGAUUUGUCUUCAUCAAAUAGGGGGAGAUUGUUGGACAAAGGCUUUGAUGACUCAAAAUCUUGAAGAUUGUGUGAAGACUAGUUGCUGCUUUUGUGUAUGUUUUUUGUAGUGUUUGAAAGUGUAAUCCACUUAGAGAAUUGAUCCAAAGUUGAUUUAAUCAAGUUUCUUUUGAAAAGGGGUUUUUCUAAUGUAAGUGGAAAAACAACCUGUUGAAUUAUUGUUUUAAUUCGUUGUUUUACACUAAGUUUUUGAAAAGCAUUUGGAAAAACUUGAAAUUUGUUGACCUUUUUGUCAAACCAAUUCAAUUGGUUGUUUCCGUAAAUCAACUUAUUGUUUUUUUGAAAAUCCUUAACAGAAUUUGUUAAGUUUGUUAAAUUUGUUUUAAUUGAUUUAAAACUGAUUUGGCUCGUGAAUUAAAUGUUUUUAACAACUAAUUGAAGUUUAAAUAAUUUGUUUUACGCUCCUAGCUGUGAGAGAUUGAGAUUAUCAUUUUACAAAUCAAGUUUUCCAAGAUUAUUAAAGGCUUUGGAUUCUUUCUUCAAGAGAAAUAGGAUUGCUUUUCGUUUUUCAAUCUGUGAUUAGACCAAGUUUAUUCAUUCCUUUUCUCUUGUACAUUGUAUUUCCGUAAAGAUUGUUGGUGUGUAGAUCCAGAGGUUGUUCUGGAAUCUGUGUUGUGAUUACCAAAGGAGGGUUGUGUUCUUGAAGGGUUCAAGAUCACCUCUUUGGUGUGUGUGGUGUAAAUCAAGGUGUUUGAUUUGUUAGUGGAAUACCCGGUGGUUUAUGGAGAUUGGAUGUAGCUUUUGGUUAAGACUGAACCAGUAUAAAACAUCUUGUGUGAUUCUCCCUAUCCUUACACUCUUUAAACUGCUUUAACUUUGAUUUUACACACUGCUGGUAUAAACAACGGAUUGUUUUGCAAAAACAACCGGUUGAUUUUCUAAAAUCAACUUAAAACGGCUUUGUUUAAUUUGCUGAACUAGUUUCUCUGCUUUGAUUUCUCAUUGACUUUCAUUAUACCUUCAAAGUUUGCAAAUUUUUUUUAUAAACAAUUCACCUCCCUAUUGUUUAAGGCCUCUAAUUCUAACAUAUAUAUUUAAAACUGGAUAAAUUCUUUGCAAAAAUAACGCUAACACGUUAUGAUAAAACCAAUUCUUUAGAGCUACAGAUCUUCUCAGUUGAACCAAGUUACAGCCAAUAAUAAUAUGACACAUUAUAUAUAUAUUACAAAAGUUUUUAUAAAUUAAAUAUAGACAACUUUACCCAUUUAAGUAGUGAUAUGGUGAUUCGAUCCACUCAUAUAUACAACAACAAAUUCACUCAUUUUUUCAGUUAUCUUGAACAGUUGAGUUACUGAUUUAGUUUCUAAAACAUUUGAAGAAAAAAUUAUUGAUGAGUCAAAGAAACUGAGACAAAUAAAAGUUUUGUCGGCCAUUGGUUUAAGAAAGAUUCAAUUAUUUAUAGCUUUCUGGUAAUGCGCUACCCCUUUGGUUUGGGUUAUGACCCAAUAAAAUUGAAGUCUCAAUUUUUGAAGAUGAAUUGUUUUCCUGUUUUAACUUUUUCAAUAGUGUACUCAUUGUUAGAUACAAAGAAAGUAUUCAUUGUUUACAUAACAGAGUAUUUGAUAAUUAUUAUUGAUUUGUUUUUUACUUUAUAAGAAGCUUAUAUAUAUAAAUUUUAUAUAAUUUUAAUUAUAUUAACUUUUUAAUUUAAAACCAUUAAAAAGGAGAACUACCUCAAGACAAAUGCAUAAAAUAAAAAUUAUAUGUCUAACUUUGUUUUGUGUAACUUUGUUCUUUCAUCAAAAAGAACUAGCUUACCCUAGGAUGAUUUUAGUAGGUAGUUGGGGGCAUGGACUAAAAAUAAAACGAACUUAUGCUAUCUCUAAAAUGUAACAAACAUUUCUUAACUGAUAAUCAUAAGUCAAUUUUUUUUUAAAUCAGUACAUACAUAUUCAGUAGAAGUAAUCGUUUCUACUGUAGAAGCAGUGAUUUCUAGUGUAGAACCAGUACAAGAUUCUAAGGAAGAUAAAUUCUCAGGAUACAUAUACCUUUGAACAUAGAAUGCUGGUAUUUGAGGUAAGGACACUAUUUCACUCUUGCUUGUUAACAUUAAUAUAAUGUUACUCAUUGUGGGUCGAUCAUUUGCAUAAUGUUCAACACAUAAGAGGCCAAUAUGAAUACACCUUUGCACUUCCUCAUGAUCAAAUACCUCAUUUAGUGAUGGAUCCACUAAUUCAAAAUAUUUGUCAUCUUUCCAUAACUCCCAUACCUGUAAGUAUUUACUCAAAUUAGACACAAUAAUAGUAUCAAGCCAAGAAACAAACUUACCAAAUUUACAUACAUGUCCAACUAGAUUCAAAGGGUGAUCAUCAUCAUAAAAACUAGUGUUUUUUCUUCCUGUAACUAUUUCAAGCAACAAUACUCCAAAGCUAUACACAUCAGACUUUGUAGAAAAAACUCCUUCCAUAGCAUAUUCUGGAGACAUAUAACCACUGCAAAAAAAAAUGUUACAUGAGAAAAAAAAUGUUAUUUAUACAUUGAUAUAAAAUAAAUGUAACAUAGUUUAGCAAGCUUACUAUGUCCCAACAACUUUGUUCGUAUUUGAUAUCGAGUCUUGUUGAGUAAACAUUCUAGCCAUUCCAAAAUCUGAAAUUUUUGGAUUCAUAUUUUCAUCAAGAAGUAUGUUACUAGCUUUCAAGUCUCUAUGAAUGACUUUGAGUCUUGAGUACUUGUGAAGAUACAAUAAUCCUUGAGCAAUUCCUUGUAUUAUGCUGAAACGCUUAUUCCAAUCUAGUAAUUUGCUUCUUGUACCAUCUUCUCCAUGUUCAUAUAAUAGUGACUUGCGUUAGAAUAUAUAUUAUGCAAAUGUAAAAAAUGUAAAAAAAAUAUACAUGUUUUGAUAGUUGUGCAUGAUAAUGAAAAGAAAAAUUAUCUAUUGGAUUCUUAAUCCAAUGCUUUGCAUUAGAAGUUAUAAUUAGGACUCCCAGGUGCCAAGAGUUUUAAGACUACGACCUAUACUGGAUUUAUAGUUGGUUGGAGGUGUUGGUGGGUUUGUCACGGUCUGCAGCUGGUGCAAGAUGGAAAGGACAUAUGUGCUUGUAUGCAAGAGAGUCAAAAGGAAUGUUAAGGACAUGAUGGAGGAUUCUGUUUUGAUGUGUCUUAUAACAGACCAAUAGAGGCAGGGUGUAUGCUGGUUUAGGGUUCUUUAUGCAGGAAACAAAAACUGUAUUUUUUAUGUGGUGUUUUGGUUGUUGUGAAAAUCCCUAAUUGUGUUUUUUGAUCAACUAGUGGUCUCACAUGUGGAUGGUAGCAGUAGAGGUUGUGGUGGGGAUUCAGACAUGUUGGGGGAUGUAAGUCGAAGUUGUAAACUCCAACCAAUCUAAGUGCGAGAUGGACCCUGGCAAGUAGGAAGUUGGUUUCUGAUAAAAGUGAGCUUAAAAGGAGCAAACAGGGGGAAGCCAAAGUCCAAAAAGGAGCGAAUGGAAGAUGUUGCAUUGAAGUGAUCUGUGACAAGUGCUACAAUCGUGCCACUGCAAGUUGGGUAGAAGGAAUGUCAAUGAGGUGGUGAAGAUAACCAAUAUUUUGGUGUAUUUUUUAUGGUUUUGUAGCUGCAGUUUUCAGUGCUUAUAGCAUUCCAAUUUGAGCAUAGUGCUAGCUGGAAUAGGAUGUUUAGCUUAUGCAGCAAACAUUAUCUAUCUAUUGCUUCUAGGGUGUUUGUUCAUCUCUUUAUACUUGGAGAUUCUUAAUGUGGUUUGGUUUAUGUAAAAGGGUUGGAUACCCCUUUUGUAUCUCUCUUAAUUUAAUUUCAUUCUUUGCUGAUAAAAAAAAAACAUUGUAAACAACACAUAAUUAUAUAAUGAUCAAUAUAUUCCUCACCGAAAAGAUAGAAAUCCAAGCUUUUGUUGGGCAUAUACUCAUAAAUUAGAAUCUUCUCUUCUUCAUGAAUGCAACAACCAAGUAGUUGAACAAGAUUCAUGUGCUGAAGUUCACAUAUCAGUGUUAGUUCAUUUUUGAACUCAACGAUUCCUUGUGCAGAACUUCUUGCAAGUCUUUUUAUAGCAACCUCCUCUCCUGUUGGUAAAGUUCCCUAACAAAAUGAGAACAAAAAGGUCAUGAUGAGUUCUCCAAAAAAUAGUUACCAACCCAUAAAAUAAAAUGAGGAUUUUGGAUCACCUUAUAAACUGGUCCAAAGCCUCCCUGUCCUAACUUAUUCUCUGAUGAAAACUCAUUUGUAGCUGCCACAACCAAUGAAUAAUCCAAUACUUUUAAACCGUGUUUCUUAUUCAAAUCAUUUCCAAAAUCUUCCAUUAGAGUCAUUUCUUUCCUUUUCUUCUCUGUUCAGAUGACAAUGAAAAAUAUUAAAAUAUAGUGAUCAAAUGUUUUAUGUAACAAUGAGUUAGAAGAAUGUAACUACCUUGAAGCACAUGUUUUCGUUUCUUUAUUGCCAGGCAUAGAAUCAACGCGCAAAUUAUGAGUAAAGUAGUAGCUAUUACUGUACUUAUCCAUAUCCACCCUUUUGUACCUGCAUACAACAACUCAAAAUCUUCAAGUACCAAUUAUUCAUUUUAUGGCUUUAUAAUUUUUUUUCAAUGUCAUUGUUAAGCGUUGCAGCCAAUGAGUUCUUUCCUUUUCAAUUUGUAGAUCAAAGACUGCUAAAAAAAGAAUUUUUUUUUGGUGCAGUUCCCUAAGAUCCACACCAAAGUUGUACAAACAAAGAAAUGCUCAAGAAUUAUUCACUCUUGAUAAAGAACCAUUCGAAAUGAAACUUCUUUUUAGUCUAUAAAAAAUGAAAUGAAGUUAGCAUCAGACCUACCGUGAUGAUGAGGGAUUAUGUUCCUUUUGUUCUCAAGUACGUAAAAGUCUUCACCCGAAACAGUGCCGUCAACUAUAUAAUCUUUUGAUGAAUUCCAUUGAUAGAAUCUACAUCCACUUCCAUCUGUAUAGAGUUCUUUGAAUCCACUGCAAUUACAAUUGCUCCAGCAAGCAGCCUCACAAUCACUGUGACUAAUAUUCUCAUUUUCUUCAUAGGUUACAUUUUCAUAAUUAGGGUAAAGACUCUUUUUGGUAAAGACAUCACCAGGAAUCCUGCAUUUAGGUAUAUCCUGCCAUCUUUGGCACCCUCCAUCUGUGUUGUUGUAUCCAUAACACAGAUCAGCCCUUGCAACAUAUCCCUCUUUGUCAUCGUAAUAUAACCGUCCAGUAUCCGAUAAGGACCAGAAAUAUGUAAUGUUUUCAUUUGUAGAUGUGAAAGAGAAGCUGUCUUCAUUCCCAUUAGACACUAUGCUGUAGUUCAACACGCCUUGUGCAUCUUCUGGAAUGUGCUCAAAUCUAUUGUUCCUCAGUUUCCCACUUUUCCAACAAACUUUUCCUCGCCUCCUUAUCAUCAGUUCUUGUCCCUUUGGUUCCCAUUCAAGACUAAAGCCACCUGGAGUCGCACGCCCUUCGGUCAAGUACGAAAAAAGUAACCAACGAUGGCCUGUUUUGUGAUUAACGCCUAACUUCAUGGUGGGGAUCAAAGUGUUGGUGGGAUAAUCAAAACUCUGCCACAAGAGAGUGGUUGUCCCAUUGGAGUGAAGGUGUUGAAGAACAAAGUUGCCUGUGUCCAACAAAGUGGCCACAGUGUUGUUGAUAGGUUGAGGUGGAGAAUACAGAAUAAUUGGUUUAUUCACAGAUGGAUAUUCUAUUUUCAGCACGCCAGAGAAGUUUAAGGAUAGAACUGCAUCGUUCUGGUGGACAGAUUGUUCUUUAUUUGCGUCCCAAACUAUAGUAUUGUCAUGUGCAUUUUGUAUUGCUAAGUAAGUAAAAAAUUCACCUCCACUUAAAAGCGAAUAAAAAUCCAGAAAAUAAUUGCGACUCUUAGAAUAUAGUUGUGAAGAGGAGUUGAAUGUAUCACCGGGGUUUAAACUGUCAUCUGCUGCAUCAACAUGAAUAGAAGAACUCCACCACAACCACAGGUGCAUGAAAGCAAGCACAAGUUUCUGAAGGAUAAGCCUCAUUUGCAAGAGGGUGAGAGUGUGAUACUGUGGUAAGUUGAAAUAAUGUGCAUGUACUUUUUAAAUGCAAUUUUUGUUGUUGAAAUGUUAGUGAACAAGUGACUUAUCUUAAUUAUUUUGGUUGUAAAAAAUUACCUGUUAAAGCAUAUCAGAAAGCAAACUUCAUAAAAACUAAAAUCUGAAGUGAGGUUGUCAUAUUCAUUGUAUAAAAAUAACUAUACAAUAUUUUUUUUCCAUAAAAUAAUUAUUGUUAUUAUAUAACAUUGUAAGUCGAUCAUAAUAAUUUCUAAAGAAUUGGCGAAGUGAUAACAAAAAGAAUCAUAAGAUUUAAUCAUUGUAAAGUGAUUUAUUUGUUUUGCAAUUACUAUUAUUAUUAUUAUUUAAAUAACAUUCUGUCAAGUAAUGCUUAUUUAUCAGCAAAAAAAUAAAAUGUCACUGGUCAUAAUAAAUAAUUACAAAAAUAUUAUUAGUGAAUAAAAAUAAAUAUAUUAUUUAGUUGAGUAAGACACCAAAAAUAAUAUAAUUAUUUUAAUUUAAAAUAUUUUUUAUUAUUUUUUGUUUUCAGCCUUAAACAAAGGAAAUUAAAGAAAACACUAAAGCAUAAUAUCAAGACUAAAAGUAAUAAAAAUGUUAGAGGAAUUUAACUUAAGUGCAUAACUUUAAACAUGCAUAAGCCUUGUUAAAAUCAUUUUAAAUGUACAAUUUGAAUACACAUAAUAUUGUUAUUAUCUAUGUGUGUAUAUAGAUAUAUUAAAAUACAUAUCUAAAAAUUAAGACAAGGAAAACAUGAAAAGGUUAUAAUUAACAAGUAUAUAAAUUACAAUUUCAAUACCAGUUUAGAAUUUCUGAAACUCGUGUUCUAGAUAUGACCAACCCUUUUCUGUUGGAAAGAAAAAGAAAGGAUCUUUCAGUAAAAGAAAAGAAAAGUAUCACUUAUCUUUACUAAAAAAAUUGAAAAAAGUAUGGAUAAGUUGAAUGAAUACUCGGAGUUAGAUUGUAUUUAAGGUACAUAUUUUAUAAACACUUAUAAAAUUUAAAAAACCAUCAUUUCUUUAUACAAGGUAAGAUUACUAUAAAUAAAUUAAAAAUUAUAUUUACAAAAUUAAUAAAAAUAAUUUUUACAAAUAUUUAAAUAUGUUUAAUUCAUAAACGAAUUAACUUUUAAAAUGUUUACACAUGAUAUCAAUAUAAAGUGAAAGACAUUAACAAUGGCCAACAAAACUUCGUGUUGUGGGACCUAUAUCUUUCAUUUCCUUUUGGUUUUGAGUAAUCUCUUCUCUUCCAUUAUUGAACUUUCAAAGAUAUGGAUAUCAUUUUAGUAUGGAUAAGUUUAACACCUUUUUUUCACAAUUGGAAAAUUAUAGUUCAUAUUUAUUAGAGGUCCAUUAUAAUUUUAAAAGAAUUAGUAUAUAAAAGCAACUUACAAGAGGCUUGAAUCUAUGUUAUUUUCUAUAUUGUGUUUAAGUUUACUAAUUUUAGCUUUUAUCUAUUUAACUAUAAUUUUUUCCAAGGUUUUGUUUUUAAAUUAAACAAUUUUGAUUUAUUGUCAACACACUAGUGCAAAAUAUAAAAAUAAUGACCAUUUAUUUAAUGCGUUUUUACUGUCAGAUGCUAUCAUUUAAAAUACGGUGCUAUUUUUUAAAUUAACUUCAUUUAAGAAUGCGACUAUUAGGUAAAGUCGCAUUCUUAAAACAAAGCGCUUUGUUUAUGAAUGCGGCUUUAUCUAAUACUUGCAUUCUUAAAACAUUUUUUACCCUUACUCAGAAACGCACCACAUAUGUUUUCAUACUUUCAUUUCUCUGGCACUUGGUUUCUCUUCUAUUCUUCUACUAGGUGCUUCCUAUCUUCUUAUAUCCACAUUGCAUGCAUUUUCUUCAUGUCAUCGAUGAGUCGUUUGGAGCUCUCUACUUCUUCUUCACCAUUGGUUUUUGUAUUUUUUCCAUUUCUCUUAUUUGUUUGUUUUCUGCCAUUGCUAGUCACCACUGUUUCAUUGGCACUGUUUGAAUUUUUACUGGGCCUUGCUCCGUCGCUGCUGCAGGUCUCGCGCCGCUCUUCACCACCAUCAUUGCCUUCACGCACAAGGUUGGUGGUGUUUUAUAUUUUUUAAUGUUAUUAAUUUGUUUAUUUAUUAUAGUUUGUAUUUUUUAAAUUUAUAUUAUUUUUGUUUUUAGGUUAGAAUAGAAUUAUUAAAUUAUUAGAUGAUAGAUAUAUUUAUAUUAUUGAUAUGUGCUAUAUUGAGUAUGGGGGUGUUCGAUCCUCAGCAAAUGUGACAUAGAACACUAAUUAGAAAACACCUGAAUGACUAUUACAGAAUAUAAUGGAUCAAAAUUGGAUUAAUUUUGUUCGCAUAAGUGAUAAGUACGAAAGAUGAGUAAAAGAAUUUAUACAAUUUGCGCAACAUAACGCGAAUAAUAAUGGUCAUGAUGGAGCAAAGAUCAGGUGUGCAUGCAUUAACUCUUUGAAUGGAAGGAUAUUGGAUGUUAAGAUAGUCAGGGGGCACCUUCUAUCUGGUGGGUUUCUUCGAUCUUAUACAACUUGGACAUGGUAUGGUGAAUUAUUAAAUUUACCAUGUUAUUCCGUAACUGAAGAAUAUGUGGGGUCCACCAUGGAUGAUGCAGUACAUGAUGAUGUAGAAGAUGAUCGAUAUGAUUUGUGAUGUGGGAGCUGAGUCUUUUGCAAAAGCGCAUGGAUAUGGAAGUAUGUCAAUCGAUGCAGAGACUCCAUUGUAUCCUGGAUCAACCAACUUCACACGGUUGUCGGCGGUGUUAAGAUUGAUGAAUUUGAAGACAAUAAAUGGAUGGACUGAUAAAAGCUUCACAGAAUUGCUUUAAUUGUUGAAGGAUAUGCUUCCAGAGGGAAACACCCUACCUAAUCGUAAGAGAGGUUAGAUUGUGUGGACCAGUGUACUUAAGAUGGAUGUAUCCUGUUGAGCGGUAUAUGAAAACUUUGAAAGGUUAUAUGAAAAAUCAUUAUCGUUCAGAAGCUUCAAUGAUUGAAAGGUACAUAGCUGAAGAAAGUACGUAUUAAAUUUUGUUCAGAGUACAUGUCAAAAGCAAAUCCAAUAGGUCUUCCAACUACUUCAUGGCACCACAGGCGUUCUACAAGUAAAUGUUUACGUGGUGUGAAUAUUGUAAGCAAAUCUCAAUCAGAAGUCUUGCAAGCACAUUUGUAUAUAUUAAAUAACACAGAUGAAGUUAUACCUUACAUAAAAGCUCAUAAAGUCAUUGUGAAGGCAAAUAACCCAAGAGAAGCAGAGAAAUGGGUAUUGAUGGAACAUAAUAGAACAUUCAUGCCUUGGUUUAAAGACGAGGUGUUAAAGGAUUCAACGACAUUGAAGACCUUGACCUGGUUGGCUGCUGAAUUGAAGUUUGAUGUCAUUUCUUGUACAGCGUACGAAGAGAACAAUUGUAUAUUUUACACGAAAUCUAUGGAUGAAAAUAGUACAAUUAAAAAUUCUGGUGUUAAUCUUGAAGUCGACUCAAUGCAGUUUUCCACUUCGAAAGAUACAAAUCUUGUACUUGGAUCAAUGACAAACUAUGGUUUUACAGAAGAGAUAUGGGAGGUUGACUAUACUAAGUUUUUUGUUCUAGUUUUCAAGUGUAAAUGGGUUGAAAAUAAAAGUGGGGUUAAAAUUGAUGAAUCUAAAUUCACACCAAUGGACUUUUGAAAGAUAGGGUAUCGAGAUGAGCCAUUUAUAAUGGUUCAACAAGCAUCUCAAGUUUUUUACGUCAAAGAUCCUACGUCAAAACAUCGGUAUGUCGUUUUACACGGGAAAAAACAAGGGAAGGUCAUAGAUGAUAUUGAAAAUGGUGACCCCCGUUCAUUCACACCAAUGAUAAUUAAUAAAGAUGACAAUGUAGUUGAUGAUGUACAUGCAACCCGUAAGACCAUAAUGAAGGAAUUUACACAUGAACAGUCAUCCUACUAUGGUAAUAAAUCUAGAAAUAUUUUUGAUAAUACACAUUUAGAAUUUUAUGUAUUUGUUUUAUAUGAUCUUCUUUUGACGCAGAUAUGGAUGACGAUCAAACGCCAAUCAGACCCUAAUUUGGACGAGGCAGUAAAAGACCUACUAGAUUGAAAUGUCUCUCAUUGAGAUGUGCUGCUGGUGAGAAUACACGUGUUGACAUUUAUGCCAACACUGGAGUGGCUUCUGCUCCUAAUGUUGAGACGUUUAAUCUCUAUCUUGGAGUUAUUUCUCGUGAGAGGCUCUCCAUUUUGAUUAAUUCAUGGGAUGAUGUGUUAGAAGUCGAUCGAAACAUGCUUUGGGAGGAUGCUCAGGCAAGCUCUACAUUAUUAUCGUUAUCAUAUAAUGCUUUUUAACAUUCAUUGAUUAGUUUUAAUUUAAUGAUAUUAUGUUGUAGACAAAUUUUGAAAUCCCUAAUGUGGAACCGUGCGGUGAAGGUCACCACUGCUUCAUUGUCUGUUGUUUGGGUUUUUGUUAUGCUGUAUUUGCUCCGUCGUUGUUGUUGUUGUUGUUGCCUUAAGGUUUAGGGUUUUAAUUUAUUUUUAUUUUUAAAAAAGAAGAAUGCGACUAUUUACCAUAGGUACAUUUAUAAAUUGCAUUUACGAAUGCGGCUAAAUAGCCGCACUUGUAAAUCUUCGAUUUAAGAGUGCAUGUUGAUCAAGUGCGACUAUAUAGCCGCCCUUAUAAAUGUAAAAUAGCCGCACUCGUUUUUCCUUUCUGCACCACUGAAAACUCAACCAAACAACUUUUUUUUCAUGCUCAAACUCACUCAUAGGCUUUAAAGAUAAAGUGUAUUCUAUUAUCAAAUGUGUGAUUUUACAUGAGCAAAGGUGCUCUUUUAUAGCCUAAGAGUCAUGAAAAUUAAGCCUCUAAGGAGAGUGUGAGACUUCUUAACACAUGAUUUCCUUAGGAUUUUCUUAUUCUACCCUAAGUUAGACUUAUUCUAAGAAACAAACACCAAAACUAUGAAGAAGAUAACAAACAAGACCACACAAGUUGUAGAUUUUUUUCUCUUUGGAUUCUUCUAUAUUUUUUACAUUUUAUAAGAGUCCUAAAGUCUUAUUGACUUGAUGAAGUUCUUAAUUUAACACCUUAACCUUGCUUCUUAUAAGAACUUCUCUAAAAUCCUCUCGGAUGGUCCGUAUUCUUUUCCAUUUCUUUAACUUUCCUUGUUUCUUGUGAUCACUCCGUCUUGUGUUGAUAUAUUUUGAACCAUGAUCUCCUCAUUAUAUAGCAAUACUAUAAGUGACUCACAUAAAACAUGUAUAGAGUAAAAAAACACAUGAACAAUGUUUGUCAAUUAGAUGGUUUCACCAUAUUGUUCAAGUCUUAGUAGGCGCUAAUAAACCAAAUGGUCUACUAAGACCAUCUACCAAAUAUGGUAGAAACUGUAUAUGAAGCUCUGGAAGGUCUAACAUGAAAAGACAGUCUAGUAACCUUUAAAUAAGAUUUUAUUGAAUCAAUCUUCACCCAUUUAAAUGAUUUGAGGAACAAAUUAAAAAUAAAAGCAAAUGUUUACUAUCUUAAAAAUAUAACAAACAUUUCUUAACUUGCAAUGAAUAAGUAAAUAUCUAGUUUCUUUUUUAAUUAGUACAUAGCUCACUCAGAUUUGUUCUAUUUCCAACGAAGUAGUAAUUUCUACUGUAGAACUAGUACACAACUCUGAAGAAAAUAACUUCUCAUUAAACAUCUCUCUUUGAAUAUAAAAUGCUGGUUUUUUAGGUAAAGACACUAUUGCACUCUUGUUUGUCAACAUUGAUAUAACGUCAGACAUUGUUGGUCGAUCAUUUGCAUAUUGUUCAACACAUAGGAGACCAACAUGAAUACACCUUUGCACUUCAUCAUAAUCAAGUGACUCAUUUAAUGAUGGAUCCACUGAUUGAAAACACUUGUCAUCUAUCCAUAGUUCCCAUACCUAUAAGUGUUUUGUUCAAAUUAGACAAAAAGAAUAUUAUACCAAAAAACAAACUCAUCAAAGCUAAUUUUACAUACAUGUCCAAUUAGAUUUAUUGGGCGAUCCUCGUCAUAAAAACUAGUGUUUUUUCGUCCACUAACAAUUUCAAGUAACAAGACCCCGAAACUAUAUACAUCAGACUUUGUAGAAAAAACUCCUUCCAUAGCAUAUUCUGGAGACAUGUAACCACUGCAAGAAAUAUUACAUCAGAAAAUAAAUUUUAUUUAUAGAUUGAUAUAUAAGAUAAAUAUAACCAAGUUUAACAAGCUUACUAUGUCCCAACAACCCUGUUCGUAUUUGAUACUGAGUCUUGUUGGGUGAACAUUCUAGCCAUUCCAAAAUCUGAAAUUUUUGGAUUCAUAUUUUCAUCGAGAAGUAUAUUACUAGCUUUCAAGUCUCUAUGAAUGAUUUUGAGUCUUGAGUACUUGUGAAGAUACAAUAAUCCUUGAGCAAUUCCUUGUAUUAUGUUGAACCGCUUAUUCCAAUCUAGUAAUUUGCUUCUUGUACAAUCUUCCACAUGGUCAUAAAGUGAUGUGCGUUAGAAUGUAUGUAAAAAGAAAUAAAUGACUUUUCUUCAUGAUGUUCUAACUACUAGGAAAAUUGAGUAAUUAUAGUAAAUCUAUCAUCAACAAACAACAAUGAGAGUUGAGAAAGAUCAAUGUUGACCUAAAUAUGUGUUUGAAUAGUUGCAUAAUAAUGAAAACAAGUUUUAUCUGUUUGACAUGUUAAACAACACAUAAUCAGAAAACAUAAUUAGAUAAUGUUCAACACAUUCCUCACCGAAAAGAUAGAAAUCCAAGCUUUUGUUGGGCAUAUACUCGUAAAUUAGAAUCUUCUCUUCUUCAUGAAUGCAACAACCAAGUAGUUGAACAAGAUUCAUGUGCUGAAGUUCACAUAUAAAUGUUAGUUCGUUUUUAAACUCUACAAUUCCUUGUGUAGAACUUUUUGCAAGUCUUUUUAUAGCAACCUCCUCUCCUGUUGGCAAAGUUCCCUAAAGAAAUGAGAACAAAAAGACCAUGAGUCCAACGAAAUAAAGUUAGCAGCACAUAACAUGAGCAGUUUCGAUCACCUUAUAAACUGGUCCAAAGCCUCCUUGUCCUAACUUAUUCUCUGAUGAAAACCCAUUUGUGGCUUCCACAACCAUGGUAUAAUCGAAUACUUUUAAACCGUGUCCCUUGUUCAAAUCAUUUCCAAAAUCUUCGAUUAGAGUCAUUUCUUUCCUUUUCUUCUCUGAUGAAAAUAAGAAAUAUUAAAAUAUAGAAAAGUGAUCAAAAGAUUUUGUUUAACAAUGAGUUUGAAAUAGGUUACUACCUUGAAGCACAUGUUUUCGUUUCUUUAUUGCCAGGCAUAGAAUGGAUGCGCAUAUUAUGAGUAAAGUAGCUGCUAUUACUGUACUUAUCCAUAUCCACCUCUUUGUACCUGCUUACAACAACUCAAAAUCUUCAAGUACCAAUUAUUAAUUUUAUGGCUUUAUAAUUAUUUGCAAUGCCAUUGUUAAGCGUUGCAGCCAAUGAGUUCUUCCCUUUUCAACUUGGAGAUCAAAGACUGCUAAAAAAAGAAAUUAUUCACUCUUGAUAAAGGGUGUAUUCAAUUUAGGUAUGAUUGGAAUCUUUAGACUUUGCAGUACGCAAUUUAGGGUAUGAUUGGAAGCAUUAGAAAUGAAACUUCUUUUUUGUCUAUAAAAAAUGAAAUGAAGUUGGCAUUAGACAUACCGUGAUGAUGAGGGACUAUGUUCCCUUUGUUCUCCAGUACGUAAAUGUCUUCACCCGAAACAGUGCCGUCAACUAUAUAAUCUUUUGAUGAAAUCCAAUGAUAGAAUAUACAUCCACUUCCAUCAUUAUAGUAUUCUUUGAAUCCAUUGCAAUAACAAUUGCUCCAGCAAGCACCCUCACAAUCGCUGUAACUAAUAUUCUUAUUAUCGUCAUAAGUUACGUUUUCAUAAUUAGAGCGAAGACUCUUUUUGGUAAACACUUCAUCAGGAAUCCUGCAUUUAGGUAUAUCCUGCCAUCUUUGGCACCCUCCUUCUGUGUUGUUGUAUCCAAAACACAGAUCAGCCCUUGCAACGAAUCCACCGUUGCUAUUGUAAAGUAACUGCCCAGUACCAGACAGGAACCACUGACUUGUAUGGCUUUCAUUUGUAGAUGUGAAAGAGAAGGUGUCUUCAUCCUCAUUGGAGACUAUGCUGUACUUCAACACGCCUUGUGCAUCUUCCGGAAUGUUCUCAAAUCUAUUGUUCCUCAGUUUCCCACUUUUCCAACAAACUUUUCCUCGCCUCCUUAUCAUCAGUUCUUGUCCCCUCGGUUCCCAUUCAAGACUAAAGCCACCUCGAGUCGCUCUCGCAUAGAUCAACUGCGAAAAAAGUAACCAACGAUGGCCUGUUUUGUGAUUAACACCUAACUUCAUGGUGGGGAUCAAAGUGUCAGUGGGAUAAUCGAAACUCUGCCACAAGAGAGUUGUUGUCCCAUUGGAGUGAAGGUGAUGAAGAACAAAGUUGCCUGUGUCCAACAAAGUGGCCACAGUGUUGUUGAUAGGUUGAGGUGGAGAAUACAGAAUAAUUGAUUUUUUGACAGAUGCAUAUUCUAUUUUGAGCACGCCAGAUAGGUUUAAGGAUAGAACUGGAUCGCUC